This 63743-nucleotide long non-coding RNA is filed under the name Malus domestica (apple). Its description in RNAcentral is "long non-coding RNA (MDOM_LNC006274)". The record is from RNAcentral. Lineage: Eukaryota; Viridiplantae; Streptophyta; Magnoliopsida; Rosales; Rosaceae.
UCUAGAUCUGGAGGAUGCCCCAAUUGAUAGAUUUCCAGAUGAACUAGUGUACUUGUUCAACUUAAGAUAUUUAAAUUUGAAGGGAACUUUAAUUGAGGAGCUUCCAGAAUCCAUCGGACGGCUUCGCAACCUUCAAAACUUGAACAUCCGUGACAGUAAGAUAAAGGCACUUCCAAAAGCAAUCUCCAAGUUAGUAAACCUACGCCAUCUAACAAUGUAUCGUUACACUAAUUAUCAUUAUGGCUUUAUGUAUGUCAUUGGGAUAAAAGCAGCAUCCGAUCUAAGUAACUUACAGAAACUGCAAGUUUUGCAAUCUGUUGAAUCAGAAGGAAGGAUUAUUAAAGUCAUCAGGAAUAUGACCCAACUUACAAGCCUCGGUAUUACAAAUGUGAAAGCAAGUGACGAGAUGGACCUAUGUGACUCCCUUCAAAAGUUAGAGCUCCUUCACUAUUUGUUUUUGAUGGCAAGUGAUGAAGAGGAGUUUCUUCGAGUUAAUGCACUACGUUCGCCUCCUCCAAACCUUCAAAAGGUUUAUUUGGCCGGAAAACUAGAAAAGGUACCGCUUUGGUUUGGUUCACUCCAUAACCUGACACGUAUGCAGCUAUAUUGGUCUAGACUUGAAGAAGAUUUGCUACCACACAUUCAAGCAUUGCCGAAUCUUGAGAGGCUUGAGCUAGUUAAUGCAUAUGUUGGCGAAAAAUUGUGUUUCUCCAGAGGCUUCAUAAAGCUUAAGCGUUUGGAUUUGCGCAACCUCCCCUUAUUGAAUAGUAUAGCUAUAGAGAAAGGGGCGAUGCCAAAUCUCCAGGUCUUAGACAUUUGGGAAUGCAUGGAGUUAAAGACAUUGCCAGAGGGCAUUGAGCUCCUUGCUAACGUAGAACGCUUGAUUCUGGGUCAUGUUCCAAGGCAACUUAUAGAGUCCGUAAAAAAGAGGCAUGGAUCAUCCAAAGGUACAACACUUUCCUGAAAUCAGCCUGUAUUACAUGGGACACCAUGAAAGAUUGUCCGGUAUUCACUCUCGUAGAAGGUACGCACACUUUUAUCCUUGCAUAAAAAUUUGAGUAAUGCUAGACUUAUCACAUUUUACAUACUAUAUAUUGUGUACCACCUUUUUAAUAGAGGUAGGGUCCAUCAACAUAUGUGGGUCUCAUUUCAAUUAGAGAGGUGAUACAAAUAUGGUAUGAAAAAUGUGGUAAAAGUAGCAUUUUUGUAAAAAAAAUUCCACAAUGUAAUCAUUUGAACUAUAUUCCUCUUGUUUUUGUUCGUUAUUAUUUUGAUUUAUUCAAUUCUAAGGCUACGAAAAAGAGGAAGUAGUGCAUCGGAGUGUAAAAAUCAUUUUGCCUUAUAAUUUGCAUGUUCAAUCUUAUUCACAAGUCUGGCAAAGACAUAAUAUAUGCAUGCAUUGAGAUUUUAUUCAGUAACUGUGUUUCGUUUGUCUUGUAAUAUCCUUUUUGUAGAAUCAAGCCUCAGAAGCACUUGUGAGACUGCAAUCUUUUUUGCCAAUUGAUUUUGUGGUGAAUCUCGACUUUCGUUAUAGUAACAUAUCAGACUAUAUACGUGUGGAGUCAUUCACCCUGCAAGGAAGAAUCCGUUUGUUGUUUGUGUGUUGUGUGAAGUUGCAAACAUUGAUCGAUCUUGGUUUCUUAUUUGCCCUUUUUGAAAUUGAAUAAUGCCCAAUAUUCUAUUUGUGUAACUGAAACUUAUAUUGAUUGCUUGCGUGUGUUUUGAUGUAAUAAUUUUAGUUUGGAACUAAAUGUGUCACUGAUGAGAAUAAUGCCCAACAUUCUGUUUGUGUGUUACAAGAACUUAUAUUAUUGUUUGCUUACGUGUAUGUUGAUGGAAUAAUAUUGGUUUGGAACUAAAUAUGUCAUUGAUGAGACCAAUUCUAACUAAACCAAUGGUUAUGACCCAUUUUUCAUUUUCAAUAUUUAUUGUUUUUUUUUUUUUCAAGUUUUCAAAUAUAUAUAUUGUUUUAGGAAGGUAAAUUUUGUGGCGGAUGCUUUAGCUCACUAUGGUUUUAUUGCUAUUGAGAAUUAUUUGAUUUGAUGGUACGGUAUUACCAUGUCGGGUGAUAUACUUCCAUUCAAAUUUUAACAUGAGUGCAGUUUCUUACGGCUGGAUUAAAAACUUUUUUAAUUAUUUUUUUUUUCAGUUUAAACAAAAUUAAAAGAAAAAAAAAUUCUCAGCUCCUUCCGCCAAAGCCCCAGUUCCCCACCACCACCUUCAUUCCCUGCCAUCAAUUGCCAUGAUUGCCUGCCUCCUGAGAAAUCACAUCCACCGUCAUAAGAAAUAAUAUCAACCUUAAAGAAUUAAUAUUCACCUUCAACAUCCAGCAAUCAGUCCCCAGUGGCUCCUCAAGGACUCAGCCAUCGAAAUCCCCCAAAGCCCCAACGAAGUCUGAGUUGCGAACGGCUCCCUGCCGAAAUCUCCAUCUCGAAACACCGCCACGGGUCUCCAACAUCCGUUGAACUCGGCGUCAUCUUCCUCCGUUCCACGUCUGUACAAAUGGCAAGUUUGAAGUGAAAGUACCACAACUGACGUGGUGAUACUGUAUCAUUCUACAAUUUAUCGUCUCACGCUAGCUAACCCUCAUUUUUGGGACCAUUGCUUGCCUUAUCGCUCAUAAUGCUUGUAUGGGAUAGAUGUACAAGAAGAUUUAGUCUUUAAUAGAAAUUUCUUUGUUGAUAAAAAAAAAAAAAUGUGUGUAUAUAUAUAUAUACCGUAUUAGAAGAAAAUAAGUGAUUUUUGUAAAGUAAAUAAAUAAUAAGAAUAAUGUUAAGUACACUAAAUGAUGUGGCCCAAUCAAAAUUUUACUUUAAUUCAAGUUUGAUUUGAUUAAUAAUUGUAAUAAAAAUUUAGGGGUAUUUGUCGUUUUCUCCUCUGAACUUGUAAGGAAAUGCCAAUUUCCCCUUGAACUUUAAUUUUAGCCAAUUACCCCAAUGAACUUUUGUAAUUAGCCAAUUUACCCCUUGAUGUUAGAUUUGAGAAUUUUCCAUCCAAUUUUCCAUCCAACUCGGUCACAUGCAUGGCACAUGCCAAAUUUUUAAGGGUAAAAAAGUAAUUUUAUCCCUAAUGUAGACAUUCUAUCUUUAUUCUUCUUCUCUUCCACUAGUUCACUUCGUACAAUUUUGUCUAAAUUAGCUAUAGAAGUCUAAUUAGCAACUGAAAAAUAUUGGCUCAGUGCCCAGUUUACCAAAAUGAAAUUAACGAUUCUUACUUCGAGUGCUUUAAUAAAGUAAACAACAUCCACAAAAAAUAUGCAACAGACUUAACAGCCUUAACAGCCUUGCACCUAGCAUCCACAAAAAAUAUGCAACAGACUUAACAACAUCCACAAAAAAUCUACUGCAUAAUCCUAUUAAAAGACCAACUUAAUCUCAACACCAAAGGUUUUCAUUAACAGGACGAAAUGCCUUCGAACACAUUAUAGUUAUACUCUCCAUGGUCUUGGCUUUUUGGCAACACGUUGGGGUUGUGAUGCCAUUUCAUUAGCCUUUCUUGUGACUUGAUUCACACGACCGCCUCGGUACACCUAUUUGAACUCAACACGAAAGCAACAAAAAUGUUAGCAAACCCAAAACAACAAAAAUUAAUGUAUAACAAAUAUUUUUGUUUUUUAAUAAAAAAAAGACAGAUUCUUGUUAUUACAUGUAGUUUAGAAGUUCCUUGUGGCCUAGUUUGAGAUGGAGCAGCCCCCGAGUGAUGAUGUGCACCAGUUUCCUACAUCAAAACCAUUUAUACUCAAUUAUUUAUGUUCACCUAGCGACUAGAUAAGUGAUAUAACAAAACUCAAAAUAAAUACAAUCCUUAUUGAUCAAAUUACCUCUUUUGUGGGCACAAAACCUUGUUGUGAUUGUAGUAGCCUUUGUGGACAGCUUCUUUUGUUGUGUCCUUCCUCUCCACAGGUUUGGCAAUGCAUUACAACAUCAUAUUUCCUUAGCUUUGUUGGCCCCUUCUUUAUCUCAUCCGAUGCUUUUGUUCUUUUGCCUUUAGGUCUUCCAAGUUGCUUGUGGUAAAAAGGGGGUUUAAUAGGCCUAAGACCAGUUCUCUUCCACUGUUCUUUUCCAGGCAUAGGAGCAAUAUACCCUUCAUAACACCUAUCAUAAGCUGGCCUUUUGUAAAGUGAGUGAACAAACACUUGUGGACUAGCCUCCUUCCUAGCAAUUGCGGAUAUAGCAUGAGGUCAAGGAAUGCCACAUAGCUGCCACUUCCUACAAGAACAAGUGUGCCUUUCCAAAUCUACUACAAACAUACUACCAACCAAAGUAUGCACUUGAUAUUGACCAUUCCCUGAAUAAUUGGCAAAACAAUUGAAACCAUCCAUUUGAUUUUUUUUUCAACAAUCUUUAAAAUUCUAGGUCCAACCUGUUGGGUCCACUUAGCUUCUCUUAGCCUAGCCAUUCUCAACAUCAAAUAUUUUUGAAUCCUUUGUAACAUCGUAAUAAUCGGUUUAUCUCUUGCAUCUAAAAUUGCAGAAUUAAAUGACUCACACAUGUGAAUAACAAAUCACACUUUACUGAUGUUCUGAAAUGAGAUCUGCUCCAAUGGCAAGGUGGCUUAUCAGCUAGCCAUUUCACUGCCUUAUCAGAUUGAUAGACAAUCUGGUUCAACUUUAAAUGGCUUAUCAGCUAGCCACACAUAACCAGUUGAUAGACAAUCUGGUUCAACUUUAAGUGGACUUUCAAACCCUUGAUAUGUAUUAAUGCAGGGAUUUUGACGUGGAAAGAAAGAUAACUUGGUCAACUUUCAGUUGCUGAUCAACUGGCAUAGCCACCAGGCAAUCGCCAAACAUUAAACCAAAUGCCAGUACAAGUUUGUUGCUCAGUUCUAUCCGACAAGUCGCAUAAAUAUGGUACUUACACAAAUGUCUUCUAUCUUUUUCAAUAAUUACAACCCAUCCCCUUCUUGAAAAAUUUAAAAGGUUGAAUGGCGUGUGGGUGUGGCUGGGCUGGGAUUAGGGUGGGAGGGUGUGGGACGCAUAACUGAAUAAAACAAUGAAGGGACCCCAUAUACACACACGACUGGAAAAAUAACACGCAAAGCAAACCUUUCACAUAUUAAACAAACUGAAAAAGAAAAAGUGAAGACUUACUGUAUCUUGGAGGAUGCCCACCAUCCCUGACCACGAUACUCAUCGUUCUCAACUUCAAAACUCAAAAUACCUUCAAUAUUUGGUAGCAAUUUGUUGAUUUCACUGUCUAUUCUCCUUAUCUUUUCCCAGACUGUAACCCUAUAAUGCCCAAUUCUUUAUGGCUCGCCUUCCCCUGCUUCUCCAUAUACCCAACAACGAUUAGGUUUGGUUGUGGUGUAUGAUUACCAUUUUGUCCUCACACCAUUAGCAUGUGCAGAGCACGUGAUCGAAUUGGAUGGUAAAUUCUAAAAUAUAACGGCAGAGGGUAAAUUGGUGAUUUACACAAGUUUAUGGGGGUAAUUGGCUAAAAUUAAAGUUCAGGGGGGAAAUUGACUAUUGCUUACAAGUUCAGGGGGUAAAUCAGCGAAUACCCCAAAAAUUUAUAUGGUGUUAUACGUGUCAUAUCAUUUAGUGAACACAUUUGGCGCAUAAAUUUGGUGUAUAUAGCAUCACCCAAAAAAUAAUAUUAAAUGGGUGGUGUUAUUCAUAUUUCAUACACUCAUUUUUACGUCUCACACGUAUUUUUCAAUUUCAGGUCGUCAGAUCAAAUAAAUUGAAGAAAUCAAUGAACAAAAUCAACAAGAAUGUAUGACAAAUAAAAAGAAGUGCGUAAAUAGCAAUGUACUACCCUAAUAAUAAUAUGAUUGACCGGUUUGUGUAAAUAUCUUACUAAUACCAAAAAAAUAAAUAAAUGAUAUUCAUUAAAAACCUUUGUCGAUGUACAAUACACAAAUCUCACAUUCCUAAGGAAUUUAUGUAUUUUAGGUAAAGAAUAUAUAUGUCAUAUCCCGGCCCGGGGCGAAUCACUUCCUGGGCCCGCUCCACCACCGUAGCACGAUAUUGUCCACUUUGGGCCCCGACCACGCCCUCACGGUUUUGUUUAUGGGAACUCACACGAGAACUUCCCAGUGGGUCGCCUAUCAUGGGAGUGCUCUUGUGCGCUACUUGCUUAACUUCAGAGUUCGGAUGGAACCCGAAGCCAGUAAGCUCCCAAAAGGCCUCAUGCUAGGUAGGGAUGAGAAUAUACAUAUAAGGAUCACUCCCAUGAGCGAUGUGAGAUCUUACAAUCCACCCCCUUAGGGGCCCGACGUCCUCGUCGACAUAUCACAGUCAGGGUUAAGCUCUGAUACCAAUCUAUCACAUCCCGGCCCGGGGAGGAUCACUUCUCAGGCUCGCUCCACCACCGUAGCACAAUAUUGUCCGCUUUGUUUCUGGGAACUCACACGAGAACUUCCCAGUGAGUCACCCAUCAUGGGAGUGCUCUCGCGCGCUACUCGCUUAACUUCAUAGUUCGGAUGGAACCCGAAACCAAUGAGCUUCCAAAAAAUCUCGUGCUAGGUAGGGAUGGGAAUAUACAUAUAAGGAUCACUCCCCUGGACGAUGUGGGAUCUUACAAUCCACCCCCCUUAGGGGCUCGAAGUCUUCGUCGACACAUCACAGUCAGGGUUAGGCUCUGAUACCAAUCUGUCACAUCCCGGCCCGGGAAGGAUCACUUCCCGGGCUCGCUCCACCACCGUAGCACAAUAUUGUCCGCUUUGGGCCCCGAUCACGCCCUCACACGGUUUUGUUUAUGGGAACUCACACGAAAAACUUCCCAGUGGGUCACCCAUCAUGGUAGUGCUCUCGCGCGCUACUCGCUUAACUUCAAAGUUCCGAUGGAACCCGAAGUCAGUGAGCUCCCAAAAGGCAUCGUGCUAGAUAGGGAUGAGAAUAUACAUAUAAGGAUCACUCCUCUAGGCAAUGUGGGAUCUUACAAUAUAUAUAUAUAUAUAUAUAUAUAUAUAUUAUUGUUAUUUUUUGAGCAAACGAUAUUAUAUAAUUAAGGGGAAGUUGAGCUCUUACAUGACGGCUUGGGUUCAAAUCCCGUCGUAGUUAAUCUAACAAAAUCUAUCGUUUAACAAGAAAAAAAGGGGGAGCGGUAUGAUGUGGUUCAAAUUCGUCUUUGGCGAGAAUCGAACCUAAGACCUAUCACUUACAAGUGAAGAGGAAUACAAAUAUAUCAUAGUAAUGAGUGGCUUUAGGUUAAGAAUAUUAACAAAAAGAGCAUUCUAGAAUUUAGAGGUUGGGGUGUGAUAUCCACACACCUUUUUUUUACUUUUCACACACCCUUCUAAUUUUCGGCCGUUGGAUCGAGUGAAUUGAAGAAAAUCAAAGGGCAGAAAUUAACAAGAGGUGUGUGAGAAGUAAAAAGAUGUGUGUGGAUAACACACCCAUAGAGGUUGUGGUGUUUCAAACAAGUUCAGUUGAUAAUGUUCUCACAUGAUUGACAAAUGACAAAGAAUGCAUUCUAGAAUUUGCCGCACGGCCAACAUGGUCCGUCGACUGUAAAUGUUUAGAAGACCCUAAAUUAUACGUGCCAAGAGCUACAUAGACCUUAUUCGGAAUGGGUACAUAAGUACAAUGUAUGACGUUUUAUGCUAAUAAUACAAUGACGACAUGUGUAGGUUUCUCUUUACAAGACAAUUUAUCAUUGCAAUAAGAUGCCAUAGUGAUAGUAUAUUUGUGUCAUGUAAGUUACUCUCAUAAAAUAAAUAUUGUGGAGCCAAAAAUAAUUCUAAAAAUUCAGAAGACGACACGUGUACUUUAUUCCGAAGAAGACAAGAUUGACCUCAUUAAAUUAGGAGGGGCAAACAAAUACUCGCACGUGCACGUGCAACUUCUCGGGAAGUUCAAGCAGCUAACUACGACUGCUUAAACCUCUCUUGGGGGAAGUCACAAGUAUUAAAUAUAGGGUUAAUUACUAAAUCUUAUUUUUAAUACAUUCUCAAUCGAAGAUCAACUCAAUCAAGUAAGGAAUCCCUACAUAUCACAAUCAAUUAGGGAUGUUUCCACCAUUAUCCCAAGAUAGUUUCUCCUAAUUAAUAUAUUGGGAAUAUUUUUUCCUCAUUCAGAGCAACUCCACCCUUGGAGCCAUUCCCCCUGGCAAUCCACUAUUGAAUCCACCAUAUUGAACAGUAACUGCCUUUAAUGAAUAGUAACUAUCAUUAAUGAACAGUAAUUACCUUUUGCAUCUCCACCCUUGGAGCCCUCCCCCCUGACAAUAGGUAAUAAAAUAUUAUUAUUUUUUGUUUGUUUAAAUAAUACAAAAUAAAAAAAAAACAUUGAAAUGGGGCUGUAGGCCUUCGGGCUGACACAAAAAAAAUAAAAAAUGCCUGGCCCUUGGGCUGCAGGCCUGUCAAUUCCACACCCCCAUUGUGCUCGAGCUCUCCAAGGCUGGAGGGUUGUCCACCGGGCCUCGGGCCCUUUCCUGAUGCCUGUCCCCCAAGCAAUCCACAAGGGUGGACUUGCUCUCAUCCAACGGAUGAGAAACGUUUCUUUCAUAUGAAGAAACUCGCCAGUUAUUCCUUCUAUAUUUGUGAUAGAGUGCAUCUUCACACGAAAGGAUCAUUCGGUUCUUGUCAUGUGAAAUAUGUGUUUCUCGGAUUUGCAUAGUAAUUUUGUGCACAGAAUCUUAUGGCUUCAGUUUUUUCCAGGUGAGCAGGUUGUGUAACUUGAUUUUGUUAUUAUUCUUUUGUAAACACGAUAUUCUCGUUCGGUUGCUACGAUUAUCAGUGUGGCCGGAAUACUACUUGUCCCAAACGCAUGGGGAAGUGCUCUAUAUUGUUCGUGAACUCCGUGUGUUAUGGGACUGUUGUUCCUGUUCAUGGGUGGAUUCUGACAAGCUGCAACACCAGGUAAUGUAGCUUGUACAUCAACUGUUUCAUGUUUCCAUAAGUGGUGAGAUAAAUUUGUUGGGUCUGAUUGAUUCAAACAGGAUUAUGGUACCCUUUUGAUGAAGGAGGCCGAGCGGUUUGCUAGCCGGGGAGCAUCGAUAGAAAAAGACUGCUUGAGCUUGAAGGGAAACACCCAAAAAUAAGACUAAGGUUAGACUUUAUGCAACAAAUGACUGAGACUUUAUUGUUAGCAUAUUGAAUAGAAGGACGACGUCCAAAUAAUACAAAUUUUGAACAGCAAAACCGAACCACCUCCUAACGAAUCUACCUAGCUAUUUUUCUUGUGUUACUUUUUCAUUCUCUAUUCUUCAUGUUGAUUUCCAUAUUGAUCUUCUGCUUCGGACUGUGAACAGAAUUGAAUCAAAAGAACCAUAUGAGGAAACCAACAUCAAGUGCGCAACGGAAAAGUUGCUCCUUUUGUGACAGAAAGGUCAUGGUUCAAGUCGUGGGAACAAUCUAUCUGCAGAGUAAGGGUAAGACUGUAUACGAUAGAUGUCCUCCUCCUGACCCUCACAAAGUGGAAGACUUGUUGCCUUGGGGUCGUCCUUUUACUUUUUGAUUCUUAAAUCUUGAUGUUGAUGUCUGUCUUGCUCUUCCGCUUCGGACUCUAUCCUUUAAAGAUAUAAUUAUCGACUACGAACUGAUAAAUUUUAGUUAGAAACCCUUUCAUUUCAGAUGAAUAAGCUCUGACAAAAUUCGUCAUUUGUCAUUUGGCUCAAAAAAUUGACCCCCACAGGAAAUUUACAACUUCAACUAUGAGAAUUAUGCAUUGCACACUCUUGGAAAUAUAUAGCUAAACAAAUUUAUGAAACCUUUUAGCCCUCCGACUAUUUUGCUUCUUGAAAUGAGUUUCACGACUUUGAAUAGACAUUUAAUUCCUUUCUUGAUAUUGUCCACCAAAAUCUCGAAAAACUUUUGAGUCUGCUACCAUGCACAUGAGGAGCAAGCUUUCUGGCAAUGGGUUUUACUCGGUCCUCAAUAAUAUAUCAACCUCUGAUCGAGUCGCCCCACUCUGCUUAUUCUCCAAAACCUUCAUCAUCAGUUGUUGAAUGCAUUCCAACUUUGGCCUCUCUCCCCCUUCAAGCUUUCAUAAAUCGUCUUUCCAACAACUUGCUUAACGAUCUCAAACUUCAUCGACGCGUUCUGCUUUCUUCCAAUAAUCUCGAAGACCAUAGUGAUGAGUUCUCGUUCCUCUGAACGCUCCCUUGCCAUUUCUUGUUCUUUCUUUCUGUAUAUGAGUUUGAGAUCGUUAAACAAGUUGUUGGAAAGCCAAUUUAUGAAAGCUUGAAGGGGGAGAGGGCCAAAGUUGGAAUGAGAACUCAUCACUAUGAUUUUCGAGAUUAUUGGAAGAAAGCAUAACGCGUCGAUGAGGUCAGAAGUUAAUGUUCAGUUAAUGUCUAAGUUUGAGAUCGUUAAGCAAGUUGUUGGAAAGCCGAUUUAUGAAAGCUUGAAGGGGGAGAGAGGCCAAAGUUGGAAUGCAUUCAACAACUGAUCACGAAGGUUUUGGAGAAUAAGCAGGGUGGGGCAACUCGAUCAGAGGUUGAUAUAUAUUAUUGAGGACCGAGUUUGAAAUCAUUAUGAAGCGCGUUGCUGAAAAUCCAUUGCCAGAAAGCUUGCUCUUCAUGUGCAUGGUAGCAAACUUAAAAGUUUUUUGAGAUUUUGGUGGACAAUAUCAAGAAAGGAAUUAAAUGUCUAUUCAAAGCCGUGAAACUCAUUUCAGGAAGCAAAAUAGUCGGAGGGCUAAAAGGUUUCAUAAAUUUGGUUAGCUAUAUUUCCAAGAGUGUGCAAUGCAUAAUUUUCAUAGUUGAAGCUGUAAAUUUCUUGUGGGGUCAAUUUUUUGAGCCAAAUGAAGAAUUUUGUCAGAGCUUAUUCAUUUGAAAUGAAAGGGUUUCUAACUAAAAUUUAUCAGUUUGUAACUGAUAAUUAUAUCUUUAGAGGAUAGAGUCCGAAGCAGAAGAGCAAGACUGACAUGGCCAUCAAGAUUUAAGAAUGAAAAAGUAAAAGGGCAACCCCAAGCUACCAAGGUUCUCCGCUUUGCUAACAUCUAUCGUAUGCAGCCUUCAAAGGAACAAGCACUCAUCGUGAUGGUCUUCGAGAUUAUUAUAAGGAAGCAGAAUGUCGACGAGGUCAAAAGUUGAUGUUCAGUUAAUGUUCGUUUGAGGUCGUUAAGCACUCAGUUGCUAGAAAACCGGUUUCUAGAAAGCUUGAAUGGGGGGAGAUGUCAGAGUUGGAAUGCAUUCAAGAACUGAGGACAGAGGUUUUCAAGAAUGAGCAAAGUGGAGCAACUCAAUCAAAGGUUGACAUAUUAUUGAGGAGUUUGAAAUCGUUAUGAAGCGCGUUGCUGAAAAACCCGUUGUCAUGAAGCAAAGCAGUCGAAGAGUUGAAAGGUUUCAUAAAUUUGGUUGGCUAUAUUUCGAAGUGUGUGCUAUGCAUAAUUUUCAUAGUUGAAGCAGGAAGGUAGCCCAAUAUUCUUCGUCGCGAUGGAUGUACAUCCUGCUGACUCCAGUGCUCAGGAAGCUUGGAGGGCAUCUUAGACUGGAGUUGUAGGCAUGCCAUAGCCACACACGAAAAAAGUAUGAAAGCAACAGUUCAUGGGGCACAGGUAACUUCAAUGGACAUUGUGUCAGUUAAAAAACAAUUAAAGAAGAUAACAGAGCUUGCAAUGAAUGGAGAAAGGUUUCAGAGGGCAGGGCGUUUAUGCAUAGGCCUCUCCCCCAUAUACUAAAUAAAUCACUCAUCGCAUGAACAGCAUGUGAUUGUAGCUGUGAUAGGAGAAAUUUUUCAUUGUGUCCGUAAUACGAGUGGUACACUACGUGUUAUUACGUAGGAGGAAGUUUUAUAUUGUAAGUUGUUAAUUUUUUAACACAAAUAUCUCACCACAUAUAUUGUGACAUGUGAUGUAUAAUUCCGUGUUCCGAACAAGCGCUAAAAAAAUCUCUCGAUGAGAUGAAUACAAUUGCUCCAUUUAAGAGUAUGAAGUUCAAGAAAUGGUUGAUUUUUUAUAUUUAAAUAAAAAGUUUUAAAAAAAUGCAUUGAAUCAGUUGCAAAAUAAUUUUUAUAGUUUUUUUUCCUUCUGUAUUCUUUUUUUUUUGUUAAUUCAUUUUUAAUUUAAUAGUUUAAAUAUAAAAUAAAACCAAUGAAAUUACAGUUAUAACCUUUAAUACAUAACUAGAAGAAAAAAAAAUUAGAUAAGGAAAAAAUGUGGGCAUUAAUUCCACACGAACAACUUUUUGCUUUUUUUUUUCUUUGAACCUGACAAUCAUGUCACCUUAUCUUUACCCUCUAAACUCACACUCUCUCUCCUUAACAGCCAACCCUUUUUUUUAUGUCUACCAACCCUUUUUUUUGUUUUAUCAAACAAUAUUAUUUACACUAAGGGAUGAAUGAGUGAGUUAAGUCUCAUAAUGAGCCAGCAAUAAUGCAGUUCAAAUUUACCUUUGGCGAAAAUCCAACCUCAGACCUCUCACCUACCAAUGAAGAAGAAUAUCACUAGAUCGUAGUAUUGAGUGCCAACAGUUAAAAACAAAUAACUCCUCCCUUUAAAAAAAAAGGGAAAACUAAUGAAAAUGGUUUGAAAACUUUGAGUUUUAACGAUAAAAACAAAAUAAAGGGUAAAGUGAAUAGUAUCGGAAUUGACUUUUUAGUGUAAAAAUGUGGUUUUUCGUUAAAGUGAAUGGUACCGGGAGUUUUUCUUUAAAUUCCUUUAAAAAAAACCAAUUUUUGAGAAAAGUAAAAAUAAAAAUUAUAUUUCUCACAGAUAGUGUGUGUGGCAUUUGCUAGUAUACAUAAUGUGAGAAGGCUAAAAAGGCGACACUUUCAAAAUACCUAAAAUGCCCCCUCUUCAAAGAAUGCAAUUUAAUAAAACUACUUCAAAUACAUGACUGACUAGUUACUAAUAUAGUUUUUUAUAUUUUCAUUUAGCUUUCAAUAUACCUAAAAUGCCCCGUUUUCAAAGAAUGUAAUUUGACAAAACUACUUCACAUACAUGACGGAGUAGUUACUUAUAUAUCUUUAAUCUUUAAUAUUAGAAAGCGAGAAGGAGAGUUUGGUGUCUUAAGGCUUCACCAAAAAAAAUUGGACCAUAAAACCCCUCAAACAAAAAAAAAUCAAAACUGACAGAAAAAAUACAUAUAAAAACCCCAAGGCUAAUUUCGUCAGAAAAAAAAUAUAUUUCAUUUUUUAAAAAAUAAAAUUUUAGUAGAAAAAAUUUAAAACAACAAACGUGGAAGACACAACUUCAACCACGUUCAGCAGUUUUCGAAAAAAAAGGGAAAAAAACACGAAAAAUAAAAAAGGAAAAAACUUCCGUGCAAAAACUGAAACCCAUUAUCUUGCGAACUGAAACCCCAUUAUCUUGCCAUGCCGAUAGAAUUAAAACCCACUACGGGAUCCUGUUUUCUGGAAUCUGGAUCCGUCUCUCACUAACUCUCUCUCUCUCCCUCCUCCGCAGCCACCUCUCUUUCUCCCUCCUCCACGGCCACCGCCAGCCGAACCUCCUGUCACUAGCUCCUCCCAUCUAACUAUCUAUCCUCUCCAAACCACCACCGAUUUAAUCCCGAGGUAUACACUUUUUGGUUUUUCAAUUUUUUUAUUUAUUUUUAUUUGUUUCAUCGGUACAGGCUUUUGUAUUUAUUGUAUUAAUAGGAGAAAUAACCCAAAGAGAUGAUAAUUUGUAUUUGAUUUCAAUUGCCAGAGUCGAAGCUCUGAAAAGGGAGCAGCAUCCAACCGCACUAGCAACUUUCAUGUAAGCUCCGAUCUUCCUCUCGCUCUAUCUCAGUUACCCAUUUGUUGUUCAUCUGGAUCUUGCUUCGAUUAAGCUAUUUGUGACUUAAACCGUCGCCUUCAUUGCCAUCUUCUCCAGGUACCCAACUUCCCAAUGUAAAAAACUAGGGUUCCAUUACCCUUUCGAAUUUCUCUCAUUUUUUUUGUGAUUUUGUUCCUGGGUUUGAUUCUUUAAUUUGAUUUUACUGGAAGUGUUUUACAGUUUUGGGUUGGAGAGAAGGAGAAGGAGAAAAGAGAGGAAGCAUUUUACCGAGGGAAAGGUGAAACUCUGUUUGCUUCUUUUCCCAUACAGGUUGUUCUGAUUGGGAUCAGUUUUAACCCUCUUCGUCCUUUGCACACACAACCACUCCACCUCUUCUUCUUUUUAUUUUUUUUAUAUAUCCAGGACAGUUUGAAGAUUUUGCUUCCUUGGAAAUCUAGCGGCAAGAAAACAUCCGUACGUUUUGGUUUCAAAGUUGUUCUUUAUUGUUUCAGUUUAAAUAAUUUGAUUAUUUUUUUACGAAAAUUAUGCAGAUAAGAAGAAGUCCACCCAUUGAUACUUCCAAGUUCCACGUAAGAUGUUGGGGAUCCUAUAUUUGCUUUCUUAUAUGUUUCUACAAUUUGUCUGUGUCUGAGUGUUGAGAUUUUUGGGCUUAUUAGAGCACACUAAACCGAAUAGGAAUCGGCGAGCGAGAGAGGGUGGGUGGUGCCACUGCAAUCCUACUUCUUCUGCUCUUCCAGUGCCUUCCAGGUAUUUCUCUUCAUUAUUUCUUGCUUUGUACUCUUUCUAACUUAUAUUUGUUCCAUUUUUUUUCUCAAUUUAUAUGUUGCGGUGAGAAAUAUGUCCUUUAAUUGUCUUUUUCUGUCGGCGUUUGUGAUGAUUGCUAAUAAAAGAAACGUUUGUGAUUAACCAAACGACAUAGGUUUUGCAUCAGCUGAAGAUUUUGCUUCCUUGCAAAUCUAGAGGCAACAAAUUUUGUUGUAUGUUAACCAUUCUGUUUUCUAUUUGUUUUCGUAACUCUUUUUGCUUUCGAAGUUUACUGCUCGGUUAAAUUUUUGUACUAAAUUCUUCAAGUUGUUAAGAUUGGGUAAAUUUAGGGAUUCAUGAAUGGGUCCGUGGUUGAAGCUCAGGAAAAUUAGCUCAAUCGGAUCUGCAAAUGGGUUAAUGCCUACUGUCUUAAUUUUGGUUAUGGUGGUAUAUGUUCGGCUCCGUCCUAUUAGUUUGUGUUAGUCUAUUUUUUCCUUUUUGAAAUCCCCAAUGUUAUGUGUUCUAUCAAUUCGAUAGUGUACAUUUCAUGAAUCUUUUAACUGUGAUCUAAUUUGUGUAAGCAUCAUUUUCCAUUGUUGAAUUUCAAUGCUAUGUUUCCAUAUUUUCCUUCAAUUUUACCUUUAUUAAGAAUCAUCCAAAUUGAAAUUUCAGUUUUAAGAUUUCCAGAGGACUUCAACAUAUCAACUAUGGAGGGAAUUGAUAGAAGCAAUAUGUCAGAGGUUCUUACCUUAUCUCUAUUAUUCCUCUUCUAUAGAGAUGAUUUAUUUUUUCUUCUUUUUCAAAAAUAAAAUAAAAUUCAUUCUUUUUGGCAAUUUCUCAAUGUCGGUCGACAAUGAAGAAAUUCACUUCGGACAAACAAAUGUUCAAAAUUCUCAACAGUCAAACCAAAGUUAUCGUAGGAGCAAUCAACAAAGGCAAAGACGACAAUCUAUGAAUUCAUCACAGCGGGCUCAAAUUUCAAUGCGACGACGUGCCAAUUAUCAAACACGAUUGAACUCAGUAAAUAUAGUACAAAAUCAAACGGAAGUAAACCAAGAUGAUAUAGGACCAACAUCGGUGGGUAACUAUGAUUUCUUAUUUUUUUUUGUCUCUAUUAAUUAUAUAUUUGUAAAUUCAUAUGUUGUAUGAAUAUUUUUGUACAAAUUAUUAAGACACAAUCUAUUAAGAUUGAACGAAUAGUUAUCUUACAUUGUCAUUGCCUUUCGUACUAUCAAUGGAAACAUCCACUUAAUAAUUAUGUUAUGUCUAUAACAAUUUCAACAUUCGGAUUGUAUAUAUUUACCACAGUGACCAACGUUUUAACAAGUACCCCAACAAAAAAAAACAAAUAAAAAAGGAAAGAAAUAUGUCUGGAACGGUAAGUGAUAAAUUUUUUAUGUAAACUUGGAAUAACAGUUCAACUAUAAUAGUCAAGGGAAAAAUAUAAAAACAAUUACAAUUAUGUCCAGCCAUCUUCUAGAUUAAAAUAUUAAAAUAACAGUUAAACUUGGUAAGUGAUAAAAUUUUUACGUAAACAGCUUCAAAUUUAUUGCUUCCAAUUAUGUGCAGCCAUCUUCUAGAUUUCACCCUUCACCUCCAUACUUGGUACUAUACUUUUUAAAGCAUAUACAUUAACAAUUACAAUGGAAAAAAAACUAACACAAUACAUAUUUACAGGCGCGUAGCGCCCGUGAUGCAAAAAUGCCUCUCGCACGCACGCUAGUGCAGAGAGGCUAGUUCAUUAUUAUAUUUUUAAACACAUGUAAAUUCAGUUUUUUUUUUAAUUUAUGCAUAUAACGAAGAAGAGCAAAUUGCCACACGCCUGCGAGGCUAGUAAAGAAUAUAAAUUCAGGAGGCCAAAUGGUGAAUCAUUCAUAAUCCCAAAAAUACCCUCUCUAAUUAAAAGUUUAAAUAAAACAAUUUAAUUUCACAAAAAAUACAAACUAACAAAAGAAAAAAUUGUCAAAGGUGUAAGCGUGUAGCAAGAAACUACUUGCAAAAAGAGAGAAUAACAAUACGAAAAUCAUCUUUGUCACAUUUUAGACCAAAUUGACACAUUAAGAAGUUGCCAAAUUUUUUGAGAAUAUUACUAAAUAUGUCUCAUAUUUCAAAAUCAAAUAUCAAUUCGUUUUUGAAUUUCAUACCCAAAGUUAAAAUUAAAAAUAGUUUCAGUCUUUUUAGUAUUUUUCAUAGAAUGAAAAUAAUUAUAGCCAAUUGAUCAAAAAACAAUAAAGUUUGUUCAACCUUAGACCAUCUCCAAUGGUUGUGCUAAAAACCAAAUAUUUUAGCCCGAAAAAUUUAGUUUUUAGCCCAAAAAUAGUUUUUUUGCUCCAACUGUUAUAGCCUAAAAUUUUAGCCCGGGAUUAUUAAAGAAUGAACUUAGACUAUUUUUUUUCUUAAAUUAAUUUUUUUUAAUUAAUAUGUAGACUAUCGUAAAUUAAUUUUAUGAAUAUUCUAAUAAAUUUUUUUUUAAUUCCGAUAAAUAUUUUCAUUCGGUUCGGUGGAGCUCAUACCGAUUUCUGGGCUAAAUUUUGGGGGAAAUCUGGCAUUGGUUUAGCAUUUAGCAUUUAAUCCAAAUUUUCGCCUUGGGUUGGAGUGAGUUUGGGGGAAAACUUUUAGGGUAAUUUGACUUUUAGCCACCAGAGAUGAUCUUAACAAACACGGACUGUAGCUAGACUUGUAAACGGGUUGGGUUUAUUGGGUUUGGGUCGGGUUCAACCCGACCCGUUAAGUUAACGGGUCACCCGAACCCAACCCGUUAAGCUAGCGGGUCAUCCGAACCUGAUCCGUUAAGCUAACGGGUCACCCGUUUCACCCGUUAUCACCCGUUAACAAUUAUUAUUAUUAUUUUUUUGCAUAAAGUUUAUUUUUUGUUAUUAAGACUUUACUAAAAUUACUAAAAUAUCAUCAACUAAUGGGUGCUAACGGGUGUUAACGGGUCCUAACGGGUCUAACGGGUUGACCCAAAGUGACCCGUUAGCGACCCGACUCGUUAAGUAUCCACCCAAAUACAAAUAUUAACGGAUUGGGUCAGGUCGGGUUAACGGAUUGGGUCCAAAAUGUCUCAUAUUUCAAAAUCAAAUAUCAAUUCGUUUUUGAAUUUCCUACCCAAAGUUAAAAUUAAAAAUAGUUUCAGUCUUUUUAGUAUUUUUCAUAGAAUAAAAAUAAUUUUAGCCAAUUGAUCAAAAAACAAUAAAGUUUGUUCAACCUUAGACCAUCUCCAAUGGUUGGGCUAAAAGCCAAAUAUUUUAACCUGAAAAUUUUAGUUUUUAGCCCAAAAAUAGUUUUUCUGCUCCAACCGUUCUAACAUAAAAUUUUAGCCCGGACUUAUUAAAGAAUAAACUUAGGCUAUUUUUUUCUUAAAUUAAUUUUUUUAAAUUAAUAUGUAGACUAUCGUAAAUUAAUUUUAUGAAUAUUCUAAUAAAAAAAAUUUAAAAUUCCGAUAAAUAUUUUGACUCUGUUCGAUGGAGCUCAUACCGAUUUCUCGGCUAAAUUUUGGAGAGAAUCUGACAUUAGUUUAGCAUUUAGCAUUUAGUCCAAAUUUUCCCCUUGGGUUAGAGUGAGUUUGGGGGGAAACUUUUUAGGGUAAUUUGACUUUCAACUCACCAUUAGAGAUGGUCUUAACAAACACGGACUGUAGCAUAGAAACGGCAGUUCCUGUUAAACCUCUUUUCCUCCCCUCACUCUUCUCUCCCAUGGCAACUGCAGUGCUGCCAGUAUCCGUGCCCGCCAGAAAGCAACCCCGACCCGGUCAGGGCGGAUUCGAGGCCCAUGGACUAUCCGAAGGAGAGGCCUGGGUCCGAGCCAUCGCCGAAAUCGUCAGCUCCAUGGUCGACCUCUCCCGGAAGACCAAAACGCCCUCAGGACCACCGCGUGCCGCAAGUACGGUCUCUCACGUGCGCCGAAGCUGGUUGAAAUGAUCGCGGCUCUGCCGGAGUCGGACCGUGAGGCUCUUCUCCCUAAGCUCAGGCCAAGACGGUCCGAACCGCCUCAGGCAUCGCCGUCGUGGCCGUGAUGUCGAAGCCUCAUAGGUGCCCCCACAUCGCCACCACCGGGAAUAUUUGCGUGUACUGCCCCGGUGGUUCCGAUUCGGACUUUGAGUACAGCACUCAGUCUUACACUGGAUACGAGCCUACUAGCAUGCGCGCAAUUUGGGCAGGUAUGGCUUUCUCUAGUUCAUUGACGCAUUUUAUCGAACACUUGAUAGGGAAUUCAAAAUUUAUGUUAUUCAUGAUUCGUUUCGAAGUUUAAAGUUUUCGGCUUGAUUGAUUUUUCACCAUGAAAUUGAGAGCUUUGUAAUGAAGAGAUUAUUUGAAGGAAUUGGUGUUUAAAAUUGGAUUAGUGAAGUUAAUUUGGUAGUUAAUCUUUUGGUUUUGUGUGUUUAGAUACAACCCAUAUGUCCAGGCUAGAAGAUCAGCUGAAGAGAUUGGGUCACAGUGUAGACAAGGUUUGGAGAUUUCCAUGAUAGAGUAAUAUGCAUGGUUGUCGCCUUAUAACUGGUACUGAAUUUGUGUUUUCAGGUCGAGUUCAUCUUAAUGGGCGGUACUUUCAUGUCGUUGCCCGCAGAUUACCGUGAUUACUUUAUUAGAAAUCUGCACGAUGCGUUAUUGGGACACACUUCUGCCAAUGUUGAAGAGGCAGUUGCCUACUCUGAGCAUGGUGCUACUAAAUGUAUUGGAAUGACCAUUGAAACCUGAGAUUUUAGUUUAUUUCCGAAGCCUUUAAUUUCUCAUUCUUGUGUUUAAAUUGGCUGACAGUAAUUUUUUCGCUUACCAUCUUGUUUCCAGUUCAUCUGGUCGGUCCAGAAAGUUAACAAAGGUAGUUGUAACUUUUUAUUCUGCUGGAGGCCAGAUUAUUGCCUUGGACCUCACUUGAGACAAAUGCUUUCUUAUGGUUGUACAAGACUAGAAAUUGGAGUUCAGAGUACAUAUGAGGAUGUGGCUCGGGACAACAAUAGAGGGUCAUACCGUAGCUGCAGUGGCUGAUUGUUUUUACUUGGCAAAGGAUGCUGGUUUUAAGGUCAGCCUAGUACCUUAUCAUAAAACUCACUUACCUUCACCGUGGGAAAAGAUUGGAUUUUGGACCUUUUAUAUCUACAGUGACAGGAGAUUAAUCUUUCAUCAAAAACAAUUUGUGAGCCUGGAUAUAUUUUUCAAAUUAUUGUGCUCUCCCAUAAUUCAGCGAGAAUAUUUUAUCAUAUUCUAGUCAUUCAUGUUGAUUACUUUUGUUUCACACUAAUAAUUUUAUGCAUUUGCUCUAGGUGGUUGCACAAAUGAUGCCUGACCUUCCUAAUGUAGGGGUUGAGAGAGACAUGGAGAAUUUCGGGAGUUCUUUGAGAGCCCCUCGUUCAGAGAAAAUGGCCCUAAAAUUUAACCAACACUCGUGAUCUGUGGAACUGGACUCUAUGAGCUUUGGAAAACGGGCAGGUACCUGAGCAACUUGUGGACAUUGUAGCUCGGAUCCUAGCCAUGGUCCCCCCUUGGACGCGUGUUUAUAGAGUUCAGCGAGACAUUCCAAUGCCUUUAGUUACUUCUGGGGUUGAGAAAGGAAAUCUUCGGGAGUUAGCUUUGGCUUGGAUGGAAGACCUGGGCUUGAAGUGCCGUGAUGUUCGAACACGAGAGGCUGGAAUUCAGGUAUGUGGGUAGUCAUUCUUGUUUGAGCAUGUUUUUUGGAACUGAGGUUUUGAUUUGCAAGUCGAACAAGGCAUGAAAUUCGGGUUGUUGUAAGUGGAGCGAGUGAUGAAAUAUACGGUUUUAGUUUUGAAUGAAUUUGGUUCUGAAGUUGGAGUUUUUUUGUUUGCAGGUAUACACCAGGGGAGUUCCCGUUGCCUUCAGAAACGCGGUCUGCUGAGUUCUAUAAGAUGGUGCCUAGGAUGCUUUCGGAUGCAGGUUACAACCUAUAGAAAUUAGCAGUUACUGCAAGAGUGGAUAUCACUGCAAACACAAUCUAACUUAUUGGAAGAACAAGCCUUUCUAUGCUGUCGGCCUUGGCUCCGCUAGCUAUGUCGAUGGCGUGAGGUUUUCGAGACCAAAGAGGAUGAAGAGUACACAGGUAAUGUGGAGAAUAUGGAGAAUGAUUUGGUGGAGUGCGGUGAGGUACUGUAUGGUACGUAGACGGGACAAAACGGAUGUUGUUAUGGAUAAAUUUUUCAUUGGGACCGGAAUACGGAUGGUACAUCACAUGUUUUUAUAUAAAUUGUGGGAAAUUUUAUUUUUUAAGUUGUUAACUUUUUAACACAUAUCACACAAUUUGUAUAGCAAUACGUAAUGUACCAUCCGUGUUUCGGUCACACCAAAAAUUCUCUCAUUGUUAUCUUCUCUCUUAAAAUGAAGAGAAAACGUUACAUUUAUGUACAAUUAUUGCUUCCGCUGAAAUUAAUAAUUAACAAAUGCAUUAUGAUUCUUACCCUAUUAAGAUAGAUCAUAGUUAGGGGUGAAUUUGGGUACGGUUAUCGUACUAAAAUCCUUGUACUAAAUACCAUACCAAAUUUUGGGUUUGACACAAUUUAUUAUCAUUAUUAUGCCAAAUUUUUAGCAUAACUAAUUAUGGUAUGUCAAAUAGUUAUAGUUCGGUUAACAUGGUAUGAUCAUAGUAAUUACCACUUUAUUUUGAAUCACUUUUUCAGCCUAAAAUCUGUUUUUUUUUUUAUUUAUAAAUUUAUAUUUUGUUCCCAACCCAAUUGAAGGGCAACCCCUCUCCCUUUCUUCCAUCGUUCUCCGGCUUCUACUUCUACUGGUCACUAACUAUGAAAGGUAUGAGUGUCCGCCAUGGAUGACCGUGUUCUUGUCAACAAUUUAAUUUUCCAAUAUCUUCUUCUAUUGAUAACUUUACAUGGAGUGUUGUAAGUUGUAUGGUUUACAGGACGAGCAAAAGAAGGCUGGAGGUUCUACUCAUUUAACUUUAACAUAUUUUUUAUCAUUUAGUAUUAUGGUUUGGUGGUAUUCUUUUUCACUUGGAAGUGAGGGGUCUUAGAUUCGAAUUUCGUGGAUGGUGAAUUCGAUACCAAAUUAGAUUGGGCUUAACCGAACUCAUCCUCUCUAGUUUAAAAUAUAUCGAUGUACUAAAAAAAAAACUUAAACAUAUUUUUCUCAAAUUAUUUGAUUAAAUGACAUGGAUUAUAAUUAAUAUUUUUUAAUAAACAAUAUUAACUGCACUAAGGGGGAGGGGAUGGGCUACCAAUAAUGUGGUUCAAAUUCGUCUUUGGCGAGAAUCGAAUUAGAGACCUCUCAUUUAUAAAUGAAGAGAAAUAUCACUAAGCCGUAAUACUAAGUAGCUAUUAUAAUUAAUACUAACAUUUACCUACAUACUUUGUGUGUAUGAACACAUUUUUUUAGAAAAUGAGAAUGAGAGGGAGAGAAAGAGAGAGAAAAUGUGAGAGGAGUGGGAGGUUUUUUAUUUUGGUUUUUUUUUAAUUUUAAAUAUUAUGAUAUUUUAACAUCACCUGUAGGUGAGGUUUCAAUAAAAAACAAUAAAAUUUGGACCUAUGAAAUUACAUUAUUGCCCAUCAUUUUUUUGUGUGAUAGAAGACUAAGUUAUCUUCUCACUCUCUUUUGGUUGAUAAAGAAGAUUUCAUUAAUUAAUAGAGAUUAUACAUAAUAAAUAAAAUGAAAAAUAAUAAAAACUGAAAGAAAAAACUGUACCGUUCAAACUUCAAAGUUAGGGGGAGGGUAAGAAGGACAAGGAUUGUCUGCACUCCCACUUUCGGUGCCCUCCUGUUUGUGUGGUCACGGUUAAGCCACGUCAACAUUUUAUAUUACUAUUCAUUUUUGUCUUAUUAUUUCUAUAAAAAAAUAAUAUAAAAUGUUGACGUGACUUCACCGUAACCACACAAAACAGAAAGGCACCAUAAGUGGGAGGGCAGACAAUCCUUGUCUGGGUAAGAAACCUCUCAUUCUCUGCCGCAUAUCUCCUAGUUUUAUUUAUUUAUUUAAAUUUUUUUUUGGUGAUAAAAAAACCUUCCAGAUCUCUUUACUCUCUAGAAACUCAUGUGUUAUUACCAUUUAUCGGACGAUAUGUUUUCCCGCUUGUUCAAAAUGUUCUUACGCUUGGCUAAUGACAGAAAAAAUCGUUUUCCACAAUCUAAUUUAUCAUUCAAAAUACCAGGAAUGAAGAAUUAGGGUUUUGGGUUUAGUUUUGUUUACCGAACAAAAUAAUUCAAAAGAUCGAGCAAUUGCGCGAUAGGCUUUGUGUGCUUCUUAAUUUUGUAUAAAUCGAAUCAAAUCAACAUGCAGUAAAGAUGGAUUUUCUCUCCCUCCUCCUUACGUUCGUGACCAGUUGAUUUUUCUCUCCUCCUCCUUAUAUUCGAAUCAAACCGAAUAUCGUACCAAAUGGUUAGGGAUUGGUUUAGUAUGAAUCUUGAAUUUUUUUGAGAAUUUCGGUUUGGGAUCAAGAUUUUUUCGAUUUGGUUUGGGAUUUUUCGAAAUUUGCAAAUUCCGAACCAAACCAAAUGAUGUGUCACUAAUAAAAAAUAAGCACGUUAAUCAAAACUUAAGUGAUAAUCCAAUUAUAAAAAAACCAAAUCAUUUGGUUUACAAAAUUUGUAUUAAAAAUUUAGUCUCUCUAGAAUUACCCAUAUAUAUAUAGUUUUCCUCAAUAACUGUUUAUGCAUAAUUGAUAUGACAUGUCAUGUUUAGCUUUACAAAUACUCUUUUCAUACACUUCAAGUUUAUAUGACUAUUUGUAAACAUAAACCUAUGGCAUGACAUCCUUGUAUCUAAUCUGCUCAUUAUUACAUGUUUGCACGGUGUCUUUUAGUUAUUUGUAUUGUUUUGGGCCAAGGACCGGCUUCACAUGUAUCUUCACUUACACCAUUUACAUUCGCUUCGGAUCCAGAGGUAGGUGUUAGCCUAUCCCUAGGUUAGAUUUUUGGACUCGUAUAUGAUGCGCUUAGCACUAGCUUCCAUGAUGUAGUACUAGAAUGUAAUAUCUGCACCUAGCUUGUUCCAUUAUCAGAACACCUCUGCAAUAGACUUGUGUGUCUACAUACAUUAAUGAGCAGCGACUUACGCUUUGAGAUGACUAUUGUAUACUUGUAUACGUACGCUGUAUUCUUCGACUUACGAUAUUUGUUGGCUGCUAUACAAUAUUACAUAAUAUUAUUAUUUUUGGGAAACACGUUUUCAAAAAGGUUUUCAAAACUUUAUUUUAUAGGCUUACUCACCCUUGUUUUUCGCCCCUCUAGGAUCUAGUGGCAGAGCUUUGUGACGACAAUGAUUGCUGGCAAGAGCUGACAUGUAGGAGGAUAUCUCCUUUCAAUAUAAAUGUUCUUACUUUUUUAUUGUAAUUUACUUAUACUCUGAUAUCACUGUGUGAAAAGGUUCAACCUUACUCACAUGCGUGCUCUAGAAUUAGUUACUUGAGGUUCACCAUUACUUUAUGGCUUCAUCACCUCCCAGGUGUUGGCUAGCAUUGCUCCAUUCUGUUGUCCAGGUGGACAUUCCGGGUUGGGUUGUGUCAUAAUGAGUGCUCAUCCAAGAUAGUAUUCAAUAAAUCUAUUACAAUUUAUUGAAAAAAUAAAAUGUAAAAUGAAAUUUAUCUAUUUUUUGUGUAAGUGAGAGUCAUGACUUAGGCAGGUCUAGCAGCACCUAUGCUACGUAGGCCUAAGCGCCCUUUUUUAAUUUUCAAAUGUCUAGGACUAAUCGGGUCGGUGGACACGCCUAGGCAGCGCUCGGUGGGGAUUUUUAGAACAGUGAUUAAUGUGUUGACCCAAAACUUGUAAUUUUUCUGUCAUUCCAUGUCUAAUUAACAAGUCGUGCAAAAAAUUAUGCGGCCUUUGUGUAGAGUUCAAUCUGCUAUACCCAAAAUAUUGGAACUUUUUGUUAACUGCCGCCUACAAAGAAUUGGAACUGUCUGUUAUCCUUAAUACUGACAGAAAACCAUGACAUUUCGUGGAAGAAUUAGAUUGAAUGAGUUCGAAAAUUUUCAACCAUAGAUUUUUGUUCUUGAAUCAAAUUCUUUAAUUCUGUGUUCUUGGAAAAAAAGACUCGAGAAAGUAGUUUUCGGACUAAGUUUGGCCCUUUGUUUGUUAAAAUGAAUGAAAGUUAAAAACAGAUUUAAGUUUCUUGAUUACUAGACAAUUCGGGUACCUUAUUUAGAUCUUGAUUUCUUUUGGCUUGUGGUUUCGUUUGAAACUAAGCACAUAGUUUGUAAAAUACAAAAAUUUAUCCAUUGCGUUCUUUUUUUCCUUUUCUGUUGUUUUGAAACUUGUCUAUUCUGUAGAUAGAUUGCAUACCAAGUAUCGAAGGCCAAAUGGCGUCAGCUGCAUCAGUAUUGAUUGGGAAAAUUGCGGCCAUUCUUGAGAACGAAGCAUCUUCCAUAGCAGCAGUUUGUGAUGAAGUUGAUGAGCUUAAGCUGGAGCUCAUAAGCAUGAAAUCUUUCUUAAUAGAUGCUGAAGGCAAGGAAGCACAAACAGAAGGAGUGAAAACGUGGGUUACAGUUUGACAAAAAAAAAAAAAAAAAAAACGUGGGUUACAAACGUCAGAGAUUUGACCUCCGAUGCGGAAACUGUCAUUGAUGAGUUCCUGUAUUACAUAUAUGACGAGCAAAGUGCGACUCAAUUUGAAAAAUGGCUCCACAAAACCAUUUAUAUUCCAAGGAAUCUUUGGUAUAGGCAUCGAAUAGCUAACAAAUUACAGAAAAUCACGAAAAGAUCAAAGCCAUUCCAGAGAGGAAUGAGAGAUAUGGUGUCUCUACAAUAGAAGGAACAAGUUCGGAUGGUGUUCCCAUAUGGGUGAAGAACAAAGCGGAGUCUUCUCUUUAUAUUAUGGAAGACGAACUAAUUGGGAUUGAAGUCCAGAAGCAAAAGUUAAUGGGAUUGUUGAUGAAUGGAGAGCAAAAUGAAAUGGUUGUGUCUGUGGUUGGGAUGGGAGGAUCAGGCAAGACAACUCUUGUUGCAAAUACCUUCAACAACUAAAAUGUAAAGCGACAUUUUGACUGUUAUGCAUGGAUCACUGUUUCUCAAACUUAUGUGAUCGAAGACUUAUUCAAAAAUCUGAUCAAGCAGUUCCACCAAGGAAGGAAGGAAGAGGUGACUGAACAUUUGAAUUCCAUGAGUUAUAAAGAAUUGUUAGAGAUGUUGUCGAGAUACUUGAAGUCUAAAAGGUACCUAGUUGUAUUGGAUGACGUGUGGGAUAUUAAACUUUGGCAAGAAAUAAGGAUACCACUUCUUAAUAGGUAUCAUGGAAGUCGAAUCAUGCUUACGACUCGAAAGAAGGACAUAGCCUUCUAUUCUUUUGAAGUUGAAAGUCGUCCUAUUGAAAUUGAACCCUUGGGAAACAAUGAAGCUUGGGAGCUCUUUAGCAAGAAAGCAUUCUCAACUUACGAUAAUAAAUCUUGUCCACCAGAGCUUGAAUCCUUAGCAUGGAAACUUGUGGAUGAAGGCCUACCUCUGGCAGUGGUAACUUUAGGUGGUCUAAUGUCUUCCAAGAGGUCAUCAUCGGAAUGGAGAAGCGUAUAUAACAGCUUAAAUUGGCACUUGACUAACCAUCCUAUGCUGGAACCAAUGAGCAGCAUCUUGUUGCUUAGUUUCAACAAUUUGCCCAACCGGUUGAAGCCAUGUUUCUUAUAUUGUGCCCUUUUCCCAGAAGAUUAUCUCAUCAAAAGAAAAAGGUUGAUCAGGUUGUGGAUAGCUGAAGGGUUUGUUGAACCAAUUGAUGGGGUCACACCAGAAGAAGUUGCAGAGGGUUAUCUUGUGGAACUUAUUGUUCGUAGCAUGCUACAAGUUGAAAAGAAUGAAGCUGGAGGACUAAGAGCAUGUAAGAUGCAUGAUCUUGUGCGUGAGCUUGCUUUGUCGAUAUCAAAAAAGGAAAAGUUCGGUGCUACGUGUGCUGGCAGAGAAAUAGUAGAUAAAGCUGAAAUCCGCCGAUUGUCAAUUCAAACAACUGAAAGAGAAAUUAAUUCUUGCACAGGUAUGUCAGAGCUUCGCUCCUUUCUUGUCUUUGGCGCGUUAAAGAAAUUGCCUUCUGGAUUCAAGUUGUUGAGAGUUCUAGAUCUGGAGGGGAUAAGUUUGAGAAACAAACUUUCCUUAGUAAGCGUCUGGUGGAGUUCGCUGCGCGGACAUCGCUCUUGUCGCCGACGCCAGCAGUGCACAGUCUAAGCUGAUUUAUUGACGUUGGGAUUGGCCGUGACCAACAUAUUAGCUAAAAUCUAUAUCUAAGGUGAAUCGGGAAGGUGUCGAAUGCGAGCAGAUGUGUUGGAAUCUCCCUCAGACUCUACUAUCUGAGUUAUUGUGGCAUUCUUUUCUCACAAAAGAAAAAGGUUUGUGAGAGUCUUGGAACUCAGUAAGGUGCCUUGUACCUGUUCGACGAAUUGCCCCAGUCAAUCUGAAAGCUCUCUUCGGUACUAGCACCUCCUCCUGCCGGAAGCUUGAUCUGGCUCUGGUUGUUUGGUUGAGGUGCCUUGUACCUGCUCGACGAAUUGCUCCAGAGAAUCUGUUUUUUUUUUUUUUUUUCUCAGGGUGCCCAAGGUUUUCUGCGUUCAACCUUGCUUUAAGGUGUUGACAACUCUAAACUGAAUUAUCAUGGGCACAAAUAUCGUUUGUCCAUGGGGUUUUCUUGCAGAGACGGUUAUGCUGACAACUAAUAUGCCCCCCGCUCAACCAAUUCUGAAGGCAAGGACUUUUGCUUCUGUGGUUUCCAUCCCAAUUGAAGACGUCCAUCUCAGCUAACUUCCAACUCCGGUUGUGCGUGGGGACAAAACAUAUGUCAAAAUUAGCGAGGAUCUAUACCAAGAACAGUUGAAGUUGUUUCAAAAUAAUCUCCUUGGGCGUUUGCUCCUAAAAAAGGGUUCUACGCCAAUGAAGACCGGUGCCCUAAAAUCUUGCUUAGAAGAUGCAUGGCGCCCUACUGCACCAUGGAACCUGGUUCCUAUAGGUAAAGGUUAUUUUGAUAUCCAUUUCAAUAAGGAAGAUGAUAUGCGACGGGCAUGGGGUGGCGGUACGUGUACUCUUGCUACUGGUUUAUUCAGGUUAUCAAAAUGGACGCCAGAUUUUUAAACCAGGUGAUGUUCUCCCUCAAACUCAUGCUCAGGUAUGGAUCAAAAUUUUUGGUUUGAGUCAGGAAUAUUGGCAUCCUAGACACUUGAUGGAAAUUGCGAGAGGGGUCGGCACUCCCUUGCAACUAGAUUCAGCUACAAGGGAAAGGCAAUAUGGUUAUUAUGCACGUAUAUUAGUUGAUGUGUCAAUCUUUGCAGAUGAUUUACCUACAUCUCUUAUGGUUGAAAGAGAAAAGUCAUGGCUUCCCGGUUGAGGUGGUUUAUGAAAAUUUACCGCCCAAAUGUAGUCACUGUGGUUUGAUAGGGCACUUGGCUAAUUGUUGCAGACAACUUAAACAGAUGUCGAGAGGUCGUUCUCGUAGCCGGACGCGAAAGGGUGGUAACAUGGGGGACAACAAAACCGGAGAUCACUCUCGCAGUCAACUGCACAUGGAAUAUCGUCCCAUAAAAGAUACAACAAUACCGGUUAAUGUCUUUUGUGGGUCACAUGCUUCUGAACCUCUUCAACAGGUUGAUCAAUUGUUGCCUGCAGGUAUUGAGGCAGCGGAUGAUGGCAAUGCUGAGCCCAUUCUUCAGUCUCCUCUUGGAAUAACGCCAACUGUUUCUGGUAAUGUCAUACCAGAGACUGACACCGCUGAUACGCAUAUUAGUAUUCAAUCUCCUGGGAUUUCGCAUAUUAGCAAUUCUAUGACCGAAUCGCUGUCUCCAGAUGGAUCACAUCCUCAGAAUGGUCUUUCUUAUGGUCAGCAUUUGGGCAACACCAUUGUCCCAAACAAUCUUGGCCCACAUGAUCUCUGUGACGACUCUAGCACUCCUCCUGGCUUUGAACAGGUCGAGACGGUAGCUCAGAGUAGUCAGCAGUUGGGCAACACAGAUGUCCCAAAUAAUUUUGGCAUGCAGGAUCCUCAUGACAACCAUAGCAUUCCCCCUGGUUUUGAACAUGUUGCGACAUUAGCUAAGGAUGUCAUCGAUAUUGUCAAUCACAUAGAAGGCUGUGAUAUGGAUGGUUUUACUCCUGUGUUAUCUAAUAGUCAACGGAAAAAACAAAAGCAGCUUGCCAAUCUUAAUCAACCCUCUGAUAAACCAUAUCCAAGUAGGGUCUGAGGAAUACCAGCUCGUUAUAAAUGAAGGUUCUCUUCUGGAAUAUCCGUGGCAUUGGUAAUGAUGACUCUCGGAUGGAGCUCUCUAACAUCUGUCGGUUGCAUCACCCGAAUUUGGUUUGCAUUGCGAAGCCCAUGGUGACUUUUAAUUCUAUUUCAGCUGCUUAUUGGGACUCUUUAAAUCUAUCUGCUCUUACUUUUAAUUCUAGAGGAACUCUUGCUCCCAACCUUUGGUUACUAACAUCUUCGGCUUGUGCAGACCCUUUAGUUAUUUCUAUCUCUGAUCAACAGGUUACGGUUCGCUGUACUUUUGACCAUAUCCCAAGCCAGUUCACAUUUGUUUAUGCAAGCACUUCACCUAUCAAAAGAAGAGACUUGUGGGCUGAUUUUAUCUCUCUGCGCCCACAACACAAGUUCCAUGGAUGGCUAUUGGCGAUUUCAACGCUAUCCUGGGCGCCCACGAGUAGAUGGGAGGAGGCAGACCGUCCCAACCUUCAUGCGCUCAGUUUAGUAAUAUAUCUGACACUUGUAACUUUACCCACUUGAACACAUCUGGGGCAGCCUUUACAUGGUCUAAUGGCUGGAGGUCACGUGGUCGCACUGAAAGAAGGUUAGAUCGCUCCUUGUGUGAUAUAAGCUGGUUUGAUUCUUGGCCCCACUCUAAAUGCAUAGCAUUGCCAAAGGUAGUCUCAGAUCACAACCCCCUUAUCUUCUCUGGUUCUAGAGUUUUGAGCAGUGGUCAUCGUCCUUUCCGUUUUCAAUCAAUGUGGGUUCAACAUCCAUCUUUUCGAGAAACUGUAACUCAUUGCUGGAGAAAUACAGUUGUCUAUGGUUGUCCUAUGUUUAUCAUUCUGCAAAAAUUGAAAGCUCUAAAAACCUGCUUGCGCCAAUGGAAUUUUUCGGUCUUUGGUGACGUCCAUAAUAGAGUGGCUAAUGCUCGGCAUAAUCUUUCUAUGAUUCAACAAAGAAUUUCAACUGAGGGUAUAAAUAACGAUCUUUUCGAGGAGGAGAUUGUCGCCAAGACCACAGUAAUGGAGUCUCUUCAAAUGCAGGAGGCAUUUUGGAAAGAUAGAGCUCGUGUUAAGUGGUUAACUAAAGGGGAUAGAAAUUCUUCUUUCUUUCAUGCCUAUGCUCGUAUUAAAUCUUCCAGCUCUCAUAUCAGUUGUAUUCAUGAUGGAAACAAUCUUCUUACUGACCCGCUGGCAAUUGAGAACCAUAUUGUUAAUUUCUAUCAGACUUUGUUCGGCUCCUCUUUCACCCCUUCAGGUAUUGAUGAGGUUUGUGAAGUCAUCCAGCCGAUGGUCACAGACUCUGAAAAUGAUCUCUUAUCUGCAUUACCUACUGAUGAGGAAAUUAAAGAGGCAGUUUUCUCAUUAAGUGCUUCCAGUGCGCCAGGGCCAGAUGGUUUUCCAGGUUUUUUCUAUCACCACUGUUGGGAUAUUGUCAGCUUUGAUGUUAUUCAAUUUGUGAAGCAAUUCUUUCAAUCAAAUUGGUUAUACCCCAAUGCCAAUAGUAAUUUCUUAGUUUUGAUUCCGAAGGUGGAAGACGCUAUUUCCAUGACUCAUUUUAGACCUAUUGCUUUGGCAAACUUUCUCUUUAAGAUUAUUCCCAAAAUUUUGGCAGUUCGUCUUUCUCAUGUUGUUCAACGCAUUAUUUCUCCGCAUCAAGCUGCUUUUAUACCUGGCCGAUGUAUCACAGAUUGUAUUGGCCUUGUUUCAGAAUGUUUCAAUGUGCUUGACAAAAAAACUCGUGGUGGCAAUAUGGGAGUCAAAGUUGAUAUAGCUAAGGCUUGUGAUACUUUAGAUUGGUCAUUUCUAUUGCGGGUGCUUACUAACUUUGGGUUCUCCACUUGUUUUAUAGACUGGGUUUCUACCAUCUUAAGAUCUGCUAAAUUGUCCAUCCUAAUUAAUGGUUCCCCACAUGGUUUUUUCUCUUGUUCCCGAGGAGUGCGCCAAGGGGAUCCUCUCUCUCCGUUACUUUUCUGUCUAGCUGAGGAGGCUUUAUCAAGGGGCCUGAGUCGUCUUCAACUUGAUGGGCUUACUAAGCCAACUUUUGCUCCAAGAUGUUGUAUCUCUCCUUCUCACGUUCUCUAUGCAGAUGACUUAUUCAUUUUCUGUAGAAGUGAUGGUGUCACUCUGCGUAAUUUGCAAGGUUUCUUCGAUAGAUAUAGUAGAGCCUCUGGUCAAUUUAUCAAUAAGGCAAAAAGUACUUUCUACUUGGGCUCUACCUCAAGGCAUCGCAAAGCUGUGGUUGAGAGUUACUUGGGUUUCAAAGAAGGCAAAGCACCUUUUGUCUACCUUAGAGUUCCAAUCUUCUGUGGCAAGCCUAAAAGGAGUCAUCUUCAAGCCUUGGCAGAUAAAGCUAAAGCGAAGUUAACUGGUUGGAAGGGGAAACUUUUAUCUAUGGCAGGAAGAGUUCAACUCACUCAAUCAGUUUUUCAAAGUAUGCUCUUGCAUAGCUUUUCCGUCUAUAAGUGGCCUUCUUCCUUGCUAAGGCCUCUUUCAAGAUGUGCUCGCAAUUUUAUAUGGUCUGGUGACGUAACCUCCAAGAAGUCUGUUACCGUUUCUUGGCGUCAGAUUUGUGCUCCGAAGAAUGAAGGUGGUUUGGGUUUGCGUGAUCUUGGCCUCUCUUAAACACUACUGCUCUCUUAAAGCUUGGAUGGCUUAUUAUUACUACUGAUUCCCCUUGGAGUAUUUAUCUUCGGGAACGUUUCAAGCUACAUGGUCGCCUAUAUUCUUGUAGUUAUAAGCGAUCUUCUAUAUGGCCUGGUAUUAAAUCCAUUCUUCAUAUCUUGUUUCAGAAUUGUCGUUGGGUGAUUGGAAAUGGUUCUACUACUUCCCUUUGGGUUGAUAAAUGGCUGGAUAAGCCUAUUGUGGACGUCGUUGGUGCAACAGAGAUUGCUCCAUCUUUAUCUCGUACUAAGGUCUCAAAUAUUAUUCGUAUGGGAAAAUGGGUUAUUCCUUCUUUUUUUUCUUCUACUUUCCUAUACCUAACUAAUGAGAUUUUAGAAAUGCCUCUUCCAAUUGAUGAGGAUAAGGACGUUUUAAUUUGGGAAGUUUCUACAUCUGGUGUUUUUUCGUUCUCCGAUGGCUAUGAAAUUGUUCGUCAUCGGUUCCCUGUUAAGAGUUGGGCUUCCACUAUCUGGCGUCCUUUCAUCCCACCUCGUUACUCUAUUUUAGUUUGGAAGAUUCUAUUCAACAAGCUCCCAACGGAGGAUCAACUUCAGCGCCGAGGCAUCCCGCUGGCUCCAAUAUGCCAACUAUGUCACAAGAAUUCUGAAUCUAUUGAUCACUUAUUUUCUAGCUGUGAAUUUGCACAAUGUGCUUGGCGUUGGCUAGCUACCCAAUUUGGCACUAUUAUUCCACCUACGGGCUCCCUCUCUGAUCUUUGGCUUGUUUUUCUGUCAAAGCGGUUUUCUCCUCAUCUUCGCAAUGUCUGGCUAGCUUCAGGGUUUUUCUUACUAAUGGCCAUUUGGAAGAUGCGUAAUAAAGUGAAGUUUGAAGGCAAACCUCCCUCCUUCUCACGUCUAUGCCGCUCUACCUCGGCCUGGAUUAGGCAGGUUGGAGCUCUCACCCCUGGCCAUGUACGAGGCAUUUUGGAUAGGCAACUUUUAGUUUCUCUUGGAAUAUCGCCUAACUCCUGUAAAGCUCCUUCUAUUGUCCCUGUUCUUUGGCACCCCCCUCCUUUUUCUUGGGUUAAAGUGAAUACUGAUGGCCUUGCUAAAGGUAAUCUGGGUCCUGCGGCAUGUGGCGGGGUUUUUCGUGACUCUGCAGGUUAUUUUCUUGGUGGUUUCUCCCUAAGCUUGGGCCAUCGUACUUCUUUCUAUGCGGAGCUCCAUGCUGUCAUCCUUGCUGUCGAAUUGGCCCACGCGCGGGGCUGGCAAAAUUUAUGGCUUGAAAGCGACUCUUCUAGUGUAAUAUCAUGUUUUGCUUCUGGAUCUUUCUCUCCCCCUUGGUCACUCCAGACACGCUGGAACAAUUGUACUCUCCAUUUGCAGAACAUGGUCUUUCGUUGCUCUCAUAUUUUUCGAGAAGGGAAUGUUGUUGCUGACAAAUUAGCCAAUUUAGGGCUUCUAUCAUCUUCACUUGUUUGGCACUCCACUCCCCCUAUAGAGAUCCUUCCUCCUCUGCACUCAGAUUUCUUGGGCAUGCCAACCUACAGGUUUGUCUCCUCUUCUUGAUGUGUGUUCUCCUUUCUUUUCCUAACCUUUUUGGAUUCCCUUUUGUUUUGCAGCUUGUCUUGCAGGUUAUUACCUUUUAGGUUUUUAGAGGGGUUUGGGCUUAUGCCCGCCCAGUCUUUUCCUUGUAUUUUCUUUUCCAAGAGGGGUACGGUCUAUGUCCCCCCCUCUUUUGUAUUUCCUUUCUCAAAAGGGGUAAGGUGCAUGUCCCCACCUUUUUUGUAUUUCUUUUCUCUUGUUCUAUGAGGGGUUAGGUUUAUGUCCCCCCCUGUCUAGGUGUAUCUUCUUUUUUCUUAUCAAUAAAUUUCCCUCGUACCGCCGAGGUUCUCCAAAAAAAAAAAAAAAAAAAAAAAAAAAAAGAUCUGGAGGGUGCCCCAAUUGAUAGAUUUCCAGAUGAACUAGUGUACUUGUUCGACUUAAGAUAUUUAAAUUUGAAGGGAACUUUAAUUGAGGAGCUCCCGGAAUCCAUCGGACGGCUUCGCAACCUUCAAACCUUGAACAUCCGUGACCGUAAGAUAAAGGCACUUCCGAAAGCAAUCUCCAAGUUAGUAAACCUACACCAUCUAAUCAUGUAUUGUAACACUCUUGAUUUUACGGCCUUUAGAUAUCUCAAUGGGACAAAAGCAGCAUCUGAUCUAAGUAAAUUACAGAGACUGCAAGUUUUGUCAGCUGUUGAAUCAGAAGGAAAGUUUAUUAAAGGCAUCAGGAAUAUGACCCAACUUACAAGCCUCGGUAUUACAAAUGUGAAAGCAAGUGACGAGAUGGACCUCUGUGACUCCCUUCAAAAGUUAGAGCUCCUUCACGAUUUGUCUUGAAUGGCAAGUGAUGCAGAGGAGUUUCUUCGAGUUAAUGCACUACGUUCGCCUCCUCCAGACCUUCAAAAGGUUAAUUUGACCGGAAAACUAAAAGUACCUCUUUGGUUUAGUUCACUCCAUAACCUGACACGUAUGUAUCUAUUUUGGUCUAGACUUGAAGAAGAUGUGCUACCUCACAUUCAAGCAUUGCCGAAUCUUGAACAUCUUACCCUAUCUAAUGCAUAUGUUGGCGAAAAAUUGUGUUUCUCUAGAGGCUUCAUAAACCUUAAGCAUUUGGAGUUGGCCUGCUUCCCGGUAUUGAAUAGUAUAGCUAUAGAGAAAGGGGCGAUGCCAAAUCUCCAGUUCUUAGACAUUUAUUACUGCAUGGGGUUGAAGACAUUGCCACAGGGCAUUGAGUUCCUUGCCAACGUAGAACGCUUGAUUCUGUAUUCCGUUCCAAUGCAACUUAUAGAGUCCGUAAGAGGAGGCAUGGAUCAUCCAAAGGUACAACACAUUCCUGAAAUCCACCUGUAUUAUGAGAGAGAAAAUAUGGAGUGUCAUGAAAGUUUUUUCGGUAUUCACUCUCGUAGAAGGUACGCACACUUUUAUCCUUACAUAAAAAUUUGAUUAAUGCUAGAUUUACCACAUUUUUUGUAUCACAUUUGUACCACCUUUUUUUAUAGAGGUAUGGCCCAUUGACAUAUGUAGGUCUUAUUUUUAUUAGAGAUGUGGUAUAAAUGUGCUAUGAAAAUGUGGUAAAAGUAGCAUUUUUGUAAAAACCACAACAUAAUCAUUUGAACUAUUACGUUAGAAAGUUAAAAAGUUGGUGAUUUUCACACUCCUAUUUUUUUUUUCCUUAUACGCUCCUCUUGUUUUUGUUCGUUAGUGUUUUGAUUUAUUCAAUUGUUAGGCUACGAAAAAGAGGAAAUAGUGCAUCAGAGUGUAAAAAUCAUUUUCCCUUACAAUUUGCUUGUCCAAUCUUAUAUAGAAGUCUGGCAAAGACAUAAAAUAUGCAUGCAUUGAGAUUUUAUUCAGUAACUAUGUUUCUUUUGUUUUGUAACAUCCUUUUUGCAUAAUCAAGCCUCAGAAGCACUUGUGAGACUGCAGCACUUGUGAGACUGCAUUGAGUUCUCUUUUGUCCCAGUUGAUUUUACGGUGAAUCUUGACUUUCGUUAUAGUAACAGAGAUGACUAUAUACAUGUUGAGUCAUUUGCCCUGCAAGGAAGAAUCCGUCCAUUGUGUGUUGUGGGAAGUUGCAAACAUUGAUCGAUCUUGGUUUCUUAUUUGUCCUUUGUGAAAUGGAAUAAUGCCCAAGAUUCUAUUUGUGUAACUGAAACUUAUAUUAUUGAUUGCUUGCGUGUGUUUUGAUGUAAUAAUAUUGGUUUGGAACUGAAUUUGUCACUGAUGAGAAUAAUGCUUAAGAUACUGUUUGUGUAACAGGAACUUAUAUUAUUGUUUGAUUGCGUGUAUUUUGAUAAUAAUAUUGGUUUGGAACUGAAUCUGUCAUUGAUGAGACCAAUUCUAACUAAACCAAUGAUUAUGACCCAUUUUUCAUUUUCAAUAUUUAUUGCUUUUUAUCAAGUUUUCAAAUAUAUAUUGUUUUAGGUAGGCAAAUUUUGUGGCGGAUGUUUUAGCUUACUUUGGUUUUACCUGAGAAAUUAUUAAAUGGUACGGUAUUACCACGUUGGCCGGUAAUACUUUUAUUCAAAUUUUAACAUGUGUGCAGUUUCUUAUAGGCUUACAGCUGGAUUAAAAAGCUUUCUUAAUUUAAAACUAAUUUUUUUUUUCAAUUUAACCAAAAUUAAAAGAACUAAAAAUAAGAGGCGUUUUGACACAAAUGCCUAGGGUUUAGCUUUUAAAAUUUUGAGAUAAGACCAUCUCCAAUCGAAGGGUCCAGAGGGUCGAAAAUAGUCUGAAAACCGUCUCCAACCGAGGACUAGGCCAAAGGGCUUGUGGGCCCCACUAAACAAAAAAAGGCCAAAAGGCUAACCGAUUGGCCCAACCCAGCCAGCCAACCCCGGGCCGAGCCAGAAAUUUGAAUGCAACAACUAGCUAACAUCAGCUAGCCAUUAUAUUUGAAUUUUUUUUUUGGGCCAAAAUUUUUUAAAAAAUAUUUAAUUAUAGGCCUAGAAAGUUGAUUAGUUCAAUGUUGGGUGUUUGGAUGUUCCUUUUAUAAGCAUGUUUGGUUGCUCAAAUCUCUCCCAUGGACGAUGUGGGACAAAUAUAAUGGGUGCCACACAUGCAAGCUUUUGCUUGCUUAAAUCUCUCUCACAAACGAUGUGGGACAAAUAUAAUGGAUAGUUUUUAAAUUUAAGUUGUUGUAGUUUUUAAAUUUAAAUAAUAAAUUAUGUUUGGUCCUAUGACCCUUUGGUUCUCGAUUGGAGAUGUUUUUUUGUCACAUGACUAUGUUUGAUCCUCUGACCCUCGGUUGAAGAUGAUACAAAAUAUAACCAUGCACUGUUCAUUAAAGUAUUAAUUUCUUGGACGGACAGACGGAGAUGACAUAACCUUUUUUCCUCCCCUCCCUAUUCUCUCCCAUGGCGACUGCCGUGCUGCCAGUAUCCGAGCCCGCGAGACAGCAACCCUGACCAGGUCGGGGCAGAUUCGAGGCCCAUGGACUAUCAGAAGAAGAGGCCCGCGUUUGAGUCAUCACCGAAAUCGUCAGCUCCAUGGUCGACCUCUCCCGGAAAGGCCAAAACGUCUACCUAAACGCCCUCAAGACCUCCGCGUGCCGCAAGUACGGCAUCUCACGUGCGCCGAAGCUGGUCGAAAUGAUUGCGGCUCUACAGGAGUCAGACCGUGAGGCUCUUCUUCCCAAGCUCUGGGCCAAGUCGGUCCCAACCGCUUCGGGUAUCGCCAUUAUCGUGAUGUCGAAGCGUCAUCGGUGUCCCCACAUCACCACCACCGAGAAUAUUUGCGUGUACUGCCCCAGCGGUCCCGAUUCGGACUUCGAGUACAGCACUCAAUCUUACACUGGAUACGAGCCUACUAGCAUGCGCGCAAUAUUCCUGAUAGAGUAAUAUGAAGAUACUCGCCAGGUAUUCGUUCUUCAUAUGUGAGAGAGUGCUUCGUUACAUGAAAUGAUCAUUCUAUUCUUGUCAUGUGCAAAAGUGUUGAGCUGAUGGAAGAUAAACACUUAAAAAGAUUAUGAUUGUAAUAUUGAGUAGAAUAUCUAAUUUAAUUUCGCUUCAGCAUAUAUAGAUGAAUUAAGGAUCUCACUUUUCCAGAACUUCUUGUUUCUCUUAUUUGCGUAGUAAUUUGUGCAUGGGUUUUACCGAUCGAGCAGGUUGUCUAUACUGACACUUACCAUGAUUUGUUUUUGUUCUUUUUGUAAACAGGAUAUUCUAGCUGGGUUACCGCGAUUAAGAAAGUGUGGCCGGAACACUACUUGUCCCGAACUCAUAGGAAAGUGUUCUAUUGUUCGUGAACUCCACGUUCAUGGGACUGCUGUUCCAGUUCAUGGGUGGUGGUAUCCACACUUCUCUUUUAUCUUUCUCUUUCCUCUUAAUUUCCAUCUGUCAGAUCGAAUGUAUAAAAAAAGAUUAAAUGAUAGAAAUUAACAGAAAGUGUAGGAGGUAAAAACGAGUGUGUCAAUAUCAACACCCUUUUUAGAUUGUUGUAAAUGUCAUCCAUUGAUUCACCUGGCUGGCUCACUUUCGUACAUUUUUGUUCGUUUGGUCUACUUUUGUGACGCAAAAAUCUUAAAAAAAGAAGGAAAAAUACAGAUAUAAAAAAUUACAGACAAUCCUUGCAAAACUGCAAUGGAAAAUAAGCCAGAAGAUUGAAACUAUGGCACAGUUCAUUCUUUAUAGCAAAAUCUACUGCAAUAAGAGACUGAGACCUUACCUUUCCUCCUCUAGGAAAAAGCUUCCGUUUCCCCGAGCAAGUAUGAGCAUGACAAAAUUGGUGCAAGAAAAACUCUACCAACAAAUCAAGGUGUAAGGACAAGUAUAAAAACAAUAACCUAUCUGAAAUUAUAUCAACAAGAGCAAAAAGAAAUACCAUUAAGACGGCGGGCUGAAGGACUUUGAUUAAUCGGAAAACAGCUAUUGGCAAGACCCUACAUUAUAAAAGGGGAAAAAGUAAAAAGGAUUAAACAAGGUAACGUACAAGAAUCAACAAUACAACCAAUUAUAGUGCCUUAAAGCAACCUCACAUAGGUGGUGAUUCCGUGCAACAGAUGCAGGAUUGCAUUUGGUUUUGCUCGACUUGGUAUUCAUCACAGCAUCGCAAUGCAAAGCUCCGCAUAAAUCAGCUAAGCACUUGCUGCCACUCGGCAUUCAUCAAUUUUUUUUCAAAGAGCAAAAGAGAAACCAUAUGACGGAAACAAAAAUCAUACAUACGAUUAAAGAUAUAAUAGAAAAGAUAGAGAUCAAAUAAAUUUAUAAUCAUCUAUUGAUGUAUAAUGCAAGUAUGAUUGAAGCAGACGCAGAAUAGCUCUUUGGGCUUUGAAACAACUCCAGAUGCUAACUACCCUUCCCCCGGAGUACCAAGGUACAAAAUACACAUCUUAAGGAAAGAUUAUCACUUGGAUAUCUCUUUAUCUGUGUUAUACAAUGCUAUCUUGUACAGAAGUUUAUGCCAUGUAAUUGUUCUUUGUCAUUUUUUAAGAAAUAGUUUUAUGAUCUAAUUUAUUGCAUCAUGCUACAAGCCUACAACUAAAAUGAUAACUUCAAAUUUGCUUAAUUAUUUUUUUCGAAAGCACGUUUAUGAAACCCCAACACAACAGGGAACUGAUAAACAUGGACUAGAUGCAAACGCUUUUAAAAGAAAAGUUCUUUCAUUUGCAGAUAAGCUGAAUAGAGAUAAUUCGAGGGUUUAUCAACUAGAAGGACAAAAUAUAAAUAUAACAGAGGAUAACAAACGCACACUUUUAUCCUUGCAUAAAAAUUUGAGCAAUGCUAGAUUUACCACAUUUGUAUCACCUCUCUUAUAGAGGUCAGACUUAUCAACAUAUGUAGGUCUCAUUUCUAUUAGAGAGGUGCUACAAAUGUUGUAUGAAAAAUAUGGUAAGAGUAGCAUUUUUGUAAAAAAAAAUUCCACGACCUAAUCAUUUGAACUAUUACGUUGGAAAGGUUGGUGAUUUUCAUACUCCUAUGUUUUUUUUCUUAUGCGCUCCUCCUCUUGAUUUUGUUUGUUAGUGUUUUGAUUUAUUCAAAUCUAAGGCUACGAAAAAAGAGGACGUAGUCAUCGAAGUGUAAAAUCAAUUUUCCUUGUAAUUUGCAUGUUCGAUCUUAUUCACAAGUUUGGCAAAGACAUAAUAUAUGCUUGCAUUGAGAUUUUUUUCGGUAACUGUGUCUCUUUUGUUUUGUAAUAUUCCUUUUGUAGAAUUAAACCUCACAAACACUUGUGAGACUGCAGUGAGUUUUUCUUUUUACCAAUUAAUUUUGUAGUGGAUCUCGCAUUUCGUUAUAGUAUCAGAGCAAACUAUAAAUAAGUGUUAGAGUCAUUCGCCCUGCAAGGAAGAAUCCGUUGUUUGUUUGUUUCUUAGGACGACUAGGUGCCUGAGGAAAAUCCGUGUAUUGAUAUAAACCUAUUGUUCUUGUAGCUUUUCGAUAAAGACCCGAAAUUUCCACCUGAGCUCUGAAUAUUUUCAAUUUCAAGUUCUGGACUUCUUCUGCAACUGGGUCUUGCCAAGAAACUGGUGUAUUUGCAGAGAGGUUCAUGACUGAAGUUGCAGUGAAGGAAAGCUGAGUCUGAGUGUUAAUUGCAGAAGUUCCGAGUUGGAAAUUAGUCGGGGAAGAAGAAGGGGAGAGGGGGGGAGGGAGUUUGGGGGUUGUGGAAGAGAGAAGAGGGUGAAAAGCACAGGUGAUAAGCCAUUUUCCUUCUCUGUAUCUUGGUUUGACUCACUUUUGCCUUUUAUUCAUAAUAUUUCAAAGCAAUUGCAUGAAAAGCAAGGAAAAUAAAGAAUUGAAAUAGGGACAAGUGGGGUGCUGUGUUUCAUGAAUGAAAUGAUGUUGUGAAUGAUAUUUGACAAGAAAAGAGGCCGGAGCUCUUGGAGUGAAGCUUUAAUGGAUGACAAAUGGAUGUGAACACAGUCGACCAGAGCAAUGAGCUUGAACUCGAGUAAAAAGCGAUGUAGUAUUUUUGUGUCAAAUUUUUAUUAGUUAAAAAAAAGUUAUAAUAGUUGGAUAAAAUUUUAGUCACAGUCAAAAUUUGAGUAAUGAUAUUCAUACCAUAUUUUUUAUACCACCUCUGAUAUGGACAUCCACAUCAUUUGAAAAAUUUGCAAAACCCAAGAAAAUGAAGGAGAAAGACUCUUCGUAUAUCACAAUCAUCAUUUAAUUAACUAAUUUUUCUUAUUAUUAGUUUAUUAAAUAAUAAACUAAAUUUAAAAAUCUGAUUAAUUCAAAUGAUGUGGUUGUAUACCACCUAAAACGGUAUAAAAAUGUAGUACAAAAAUAUGGUAUGAAUAAUAUUACUUCCAAAAAAUUUAAGCCUUUGUCAUUAGUUUUUCUUAUAAAAUAAAGGUUAUCUAUUUUCUUUUUCUUUUUAUUCGUGCAGCAAGUGAGGUUAUUUUUCUACCGAUUCGAAUCCAGAGCUUGACAUUCCUUACUUUAACUUGGUGUAUUUUUAAUCAUCAUCGUCAAAUAAUGAUAAUAUGAUUCACCACCCUACUUAGUAUCAUUAAAUGAUUUUAAAUUUCAUCUAUUCACUAAACAUAUUUUGAAAUUUAAACUAAUAUAACAAUGGUAUUCACUACACAUAUUUCAAAACUUAAAAUAAUGUAACUGUAAGAAUUUGAAGGUAAAAGAGUCUUACAAUGGUGAAAGGAGAAACCUUGCAAGGGUUUAUAAAAGGUUAGACUAAUUCCCAUAUUACUAAUUAGUUUUAUGGUGGAACCCUAACUUUUCAUAGUAUCAGAGUAGGUUGGCCCACGUGUGAAGCUCAAUAGCUACAUGUGCUCCACGUCACCUAAUUCGUGUUGUUCACGUGUUUGGUUUGGAAAUUAGCCACACGUGAGAAUAUGAAGAUAAAAAAGUUUCACGUUGAUGAAAAUAGAUCAUUUGCAAAGAUUUAUAAAAAGUUAAAUUACUUCUUAUAUAAUAAACUAAUUUUAUGAUAAAAACUCAAUUUUCUUAAAUAAUAAUAAUAAAUAAAGUGAUGUACGUGCACAAAAAUAUUUCCUAUAUAAACUUUAAUAGGAUCUCACCUCAUUAAUGCAUCCUAAGCCGAUUCCUAUCACGAGUUUCAAGGUUUUGCAAAUUGCCACAUGCAUCAAAUUAUUACUUUUCUCCAUGAGUCUCGGUUUUUGUCAAAAAGUCUACAUACAUAAACCAUUUGACGUAUCAGUUUUGUCCAAACAUAGUGGUCUUUGUCCCAUUAAAUAUUGGCAAAGAGUUGUCUUAUACGGAAUAGGAUCAUCUCCCAUUUUUUUUUUGUGAAAAUUCGAAUGAUCAAUUAAUUGUAUAUUGUGUAAUUAAAAAUUAAUUUUAAUUUUAUAUUUAAAAUUAAAUAUAAAUAAUACUUAAUGAAAACUGAUCCUACAAUAUACGAUGUAUGAACAAAAUUAAUUAAUCUUCGGAUCCACACAAAGAGGAUCCAGAGAGGAUCCUCGUUCGUCUUAUACCUCCUCUUCGGAUCCUCUUUGUGGGAAUCCGAGGGAUAAAUCAAUCUUGUUUCUUCAUCGUAUAUUGUGCGAUCAAUUUUCGUUAAGUACUAUUUAUAUUCAAUUUAAAAUUUAAAAUUUAAAUUUAAAAUGAUUUUUAACCAUACGAUGUACGAUGAACGAAUAAGAUUGAUUGAUUCUCCGAAUCCCCACAAAAAGGAUACAAAGAGGAUCCUUGUCAUUAUUGCAGGUUGUAGACUGUAAUAUUAAGGGGCUAAUCGUUAGAUUCGUUAAGCAAAUGGACAAAUAGGCUCAUCUCCGUUAGUAUUUAAUAAUUAAGUUUCGUACGUAAUUAAUUAUUGUUUAGGCUUGAUCUAAAGACAGACACAUACUCCCGUAGUGCUCUCCUCACUACGAUUGCGUGAACUCCAACGCAAUAAAAUUUGAAGAUACGACAAAAAUUUUACAAAACUCGGAAUAUCAAGAGAUUAUUAUAAUUCUACUAUGAUCAGUGCACUACCAAUUAUUUAAUGUCUUUUUUCUUCUUCAAAUAAUUGGUUUUGGUCGGUGGGACGCACCCACGUGACCACUCCUCUUCCCCGUGUAGUUUCACUCUUCCCCUCACGUUUCACUCAGCUGUGCCACACUCAUUCUCUUGAAAAUUUGUGAGGGAUAGAUACCCUCUUAAACUUAAAAGUAGUGCUUCUUCCACCGGAGGUCUUACUUUUGCUCCUCCCCUUCCAUAAUUUGGGUUUUGGUCUUUCACCUUUCUAUAAGUAAAGCCAAACCCCAACACUAAUUUCUCAAUGUUCCUCCCUUUUAAAGUAUGUAAAAAUUACGGGAGCAUUUUUGUUUACUAUUAUGAUUAUAGUGUAUACUUAUUGUAUAUCUAAUCAUUUGAUACGCGGUUAACUUUCACAUUGAAUAUUACUUUUUCAAUUUAAAAAAAAAUAAUCAAAGUUAAAUGAAAAAACACGUAACAAAUAAUUAAGUGUAUAAUAAGCAUAUACCAAAAUUUAUAACGGUGAGCAAAAUGCUCCCAAAAAUUAAUCUUCACUUUCCUCUUCUUUCUUGUAUCUCAUAAGGAGAACCUACUGCUGUUUUCAAGUUUCUACACUAAAUAAAAUUCUCAAUUUCUGCGCAUGGGAUUAGUAAAAAGUAGGAGUUGUGUACAUGUAAUUAGGGUUAACGUUUUGUAAGUUAUAGCUCCUCUAAAAUGAUUUCGAAUUUCGAAGUUAUCGACCAAAAAAACCCUCCCCCCUUCACCAAAACAAUCUGGUGUAUAUAAUAUGGAGAAAGCUUCCAUAAAACGAUAGAUGUAUAUACUAUUUGUAUCAUACUUGACCAAUCCCGAAACUACUGAGCACCGGUCAACGUUAUACCGUCAAGGACCCAGAAGAGUUUCUCUCCAACCGGAAGGCUAAUCACAGUGCGACAUGUGUCGACAUCAGAAGCCAAUUAUAGCACGACAUGUGUCAACAUCAGAAGCCAAUCACAACAUAACACGUGUCAAUGUCAGAACAAAGCUAGAAACUAUUUUCUAUAAAAGGAGAUCAUUCUCCCACAAUAUUUCCUAAUGUCAUUUGUACUAAAUCAUUCCCUAGUACUCACUAAAUGAGAGCUUGAACUUAUGUAAACCCUUCACAAUUAAUGAGAACUCCUCUACUCCGUGGACGUAGCCAAUUUAGGUGAACCACGUACGUUUGCUUCCUUGUCUCUAUCCGUUUACAUACUUAUCCACACUAGUGACCGGAGCAAUCUAGCGAAGGUCACAAACUUGACACUUUCUGUUGUACCAAAGUCCUCACUGAUUUUGUGCAUUAACAUUUGGCGCCGUCUGUGGGAACGACACUUAUUCCCACUCUCUUCAGCUUUGUCAAGUUGGUUUCCACCAUUCGUACACUUUCUUUUAACCAUGCAUCUCUCUUUAACAUGGGGAGCGAAGGAAGCCACAAUACACAAAAUGACACCCAUUUUGCACCUAGUGCGAAGCAACGAAAGAAGGAAGGAAAGAGGGUUGCUCUUCAAGCUAAAGUCGAUAAGCUAGAAGUUCAGAACAACAAGAUAGCAAUGAAGGAUGAGGUCCUCCAGGAGCAAUAUGAGAAGCUCUUCGAGAUGCUCCACGAAGCUAGGCAUGCUCAAACAUAUGAACUCGUUGCCCCCAUGGAAGUUAACUAUCAACUGGGUGCCCCCCAACACAGAGGGUCACCUGCCUUCGACAUAGAUAUCCCUGAUAGGGAGCGAGCUACCCAUCGAUAUGAUAAUCAACAUGAGACUUCUCUCAAUCCAGUUGCUUCAACCCGAAGCAGGAGAAGUGGAGGAAUACUCCUCCUUGCGGAAGCGGCAGAAUGAUCGAAAGCUGUUUAUCGCAAUUGUCGGGACUUCCUGAAGCAACGUCGAGAGAAAUCCAUCCACAUAAGCUCAAAGAUCAAUGACCCAAGGGUUUAUGAGAUACGCGGUCCUCUACCACGGCCCAGGCCGACUGCCAAUCUAGGGAAGGAAUGACAAGUCCCAGAGGAAUAUGAAGGUAUAGGGGACUCGGAGGUAUUCCGACAGACUCGCCUUAGAAGUCAGUGCAGUGAGUCCAAGGAAAAACCACAUGCUCUUGUUCAAACUUUCCUACUUCCAAGAGGCAAUGAAGACUUACGGAAGAAAAUUCCAGUGGUACACGACUACACUCAAGACCCCCUUGUCCUACAGCUCAUUGAGGAAGUAAACAAAGUGAAGGCCGAACAUCAGGCCGAGAUACCUGACUAGAACCAACCCAGGCCUGGCCUUCUCACAAGGAGGAUCCUCGACACCCCCUUCAAGCGAAGACAAAACAAAAGCUUGGUUUACAACUCUAUGCUGGAAGGGAGGACCCGAUUAAACACCUUAACCUCUUUGAGUCCACCAUGGCAUAUCAGAUGCACACCGACGAAGAGCGAUGUCUUCUCUUCCCUUCCACCCUCUUUGGCGGAGCUUUAAACUGGUAUUAUUGUCUUCCACCCGAGACAGUAGACUUAUUUGAGGAACUAAGGAAACUAUUUGUCUCUCAACACAUCUUCCAGACCAAUCGCUUACAUUCUGCAUAUAAGUUGUACACUAUUCACCAGAAGCCAGACAAGUCACUACGAGAGUAUGUCGGUCGCUUCAUCCAUGAGUAUUCUCACUGCGCUGAGGCAGAUGACAAAAUCGCCCUCAAAGCCUUCACGACAGGCCUACGUGAUUGUUUCUUCAAGCACAUGAUCAAUUCCAACACUUGGAAGACUUACUCUGAGGUGAUGACACAAGCUUACAACCAUGCCUCUGCCGAAGCAAGGACAUACCAAGGGAACCCCCAUAUGGUUAACCCCUAUCAACAAGUGGGAAGUGGAAGUCAAGUUCUACCAAGUGAAGAGAUCUUGGCCAUUUAGACACCCAUUGCAUCAUCUCUUGCCUCAUUUAGCUACUCGCUAAGUCACCAAACAUAUUUGUCUCUUGGUAAGAGGAAGGAUUUUUACUCUCACCAAGCCCAUUACAACAAGAGGGAUAAAAGUUUAUAUCAAGACAACUAGGGGUGAACGUACCGUCGACUAUUAUGACUAUAGGGCCAAGCCUUACUCUUUCAAAGUGGAGGACUAGGUACUGAAGGAAAUGCUAUUAUAAGAAGGCAUACACAUUACAAAUGUUUUGACUCUUAACUGCCUGAGAUCUUUUGUCUCACAAGCCAUUCGACAAAUAUUUAAAGAAGGUAUGUUAGAGAUACAGGUAUUUGGUGACGUCACGUGUCGAUUCUGGACGUAUGUUGGGAUCAGGGCGUGACAGAAAAGCUCACGGUACUGUUCAUUUUAACGAAAAACCAUAUUUUUACACUAAAAAGUCAAUCAUGGUAUUAUUCACUUUAUCGUUAAAACUCAAAGUUUUCGAACCAUUUUCAUUAGUUUUCCUUAUAAAGAAUUGGCAGCGGUGUUGAGCUACUUGGAGUCUAGAAUCUGGCAAGAAACAAGAAUUGCACUUUGGUAGAUUGAUGCAAAAUUAUUAUGAACGAUAAAUAUGUCAUACUUGGUGGAAUCGUUGGAAGAGUAUUAAUGGAAAUGAAUAACUAUAAUCAUUUGUUGGAAUCUUAAAUUGGAAAGUAUGAGAUUUAUAGAAACAUGGAACUAAAAGUAGUUGAGUCUACGCUCGGGGCACCUAGAUCUAUGUUCUGCUCAAAGUCACCAAAUAAGGGAGCGAAACCCUUUCAGUUAAAAUCAGAUAAAAUGAUCAAAUUGAGUUUUGAAUUCGUGGACUGAAAAAUGACCAUUGAAAAAAGAAAUAGAGUUAUUUGAUGAUUGGGUUAACAUAAUAGAAUAAAGAGAAAACAUUGCAUUCAUGCUUUAUUAUUGCUUCUGCUGAAUUAAAUGCAUUUUGAUUUUACCCUAUUAAGCUAGUAGCUCACCCAUGACUAGUGUUAAAUUAGAGACUUAAAAAGCAGUUGGUUUUAUGGAUGUUUUAAAAAGUAGUUGGUUUUACAGAGGGUUUUUUUUUUUUAAUUUGUUUUUUAACAAACAUUAUUAUUUACAGUUAUAUUAAGGAGAUGAGGUGAACUAAGUUUCACAAUGGGUUAGUGAUAAUGUAGUUCAAAUUCACCUUUAACGAGAAUCGGACCAAAGACGACUCACUAAUAAGUAAAGAAAAAUAUCACUAAACUGUAGUACUAAGUAACGAGUUAAUAGGACCUCACCUCGUUAAAUAUUGUCGGCGAGCAAAAUACAACCUACGCGGUUUUAGUUUCACGGUACACAAAAUGCCAAAAGUAUUGGUCUUUCUUUUUUCUAAUCAAACAAAUAGUAUUGGUCUUUGUCUCGUGCCUUAGAUUAUUUCCAAUUUUCAUAAAUUAUAAUCGGUCCUUCUUUUUAAAUCAAACAAAAAGUAAUGGUCUUCUACCAAAAAACAAAAAGUAAUGGUCUUUGUCUCAUGCCUUCCAUUAUUGUCCAAUUUUUUAAUCAAACAAUGGUAUCGGUCUUUGUCUCAUGCCUUCAAUUAUUUUCCAAUUUUCAUAAAUUAUAAUCUUCAUCUUUUUCUCCGUCUCAUACUUGAUAUUUUCAUCGAGUUUAUUGACACAGGAGUCCAACAAUACCGUAAGUUAUAGCUUAAUGCGAUUGAAGCAUAUCAUUGCUACUCUUUUGUGAGCUCUCAUAUGCCCCAGAGUAUGUUCUUCCAAUUGUUUCUAAUUCCAAAUUGAAUUUCUCUAAUUUUACUUGUUUCUCCGUUGGAUCGAAUGAGAAUAGAUAAGAGCGAGCUCCAAUCCCUUCGUCUCAUAUUUGAUAUUUUAUUUUCAUUGACAAAGGAGGAGACCAACAAUAACGACUCAGAGCAACUGAAGCAUAUCAUUGCAACUCUUUUGUGAGCUUCCACAUGCCCCAGGGUAUGUUAUUCUGCACUCUUACUACCAUAUCUAAUAUCCUUCUGGAAAUUUUCUGAAAGAAAGUAAGGGCUUAUGAGCUACAUCUGACUUUUGUUUCACUUUUUCUUCUUCUUAUUAUAUAUGUAAUUCAGAUUCUGAGCACUCAUCAUUAAACACAAGACUUCAAAUUCGAUUUCUUCCUCAACAAUUACAUAUGUUGGAAAAAUAAAAUGCAAAAUAAAAGUUAUCUAUUUUCUGUGUAGACGGGUCUAGGCGGCUGCCUUAGUAGGUCUAGGCGUCAUUUCUUAAUUUUCAAAUUCCUAGGCAUUAAUUGGGGCGGUGGCCGACUGUCGAGCGCCACUGGGAUUUUUAGAACAGUGGUUAACGUGUUGACCCAAGACUUGUUAUUUUCGAAUCGUUCAAUGUCUGAUUAACGGGUCGUGCAAAAAAUUGUGUAGGAUUUGUGUAGAGUCCAAUCUACUAGACCCAAAACAUUCCGUUCUUUUCGACGUGUGUACUUUCAUUUAACAACAAUUUUGUGGUACUUGUCAACUGCCACCUACAAAGAAUUGAAACUUUUGGUUAUCCUUAAACACUGACUAAAAUCCAUGACAUUUGGUGGAAGAAUUAGAUUGAAUGAGUUCGAAAGUUUCAAUCAUAGAUUUUUGUUCUUGAACCAAAUUCUUUAAUUCUGUGUUCUUGCAAAAAAGACUCGAGAAGUAGUUUUCGAACUUUUGAAGUUUGGCCCUUUGUUAAACUGAAUGAAAGUUAAGAACAGAAAUUUAAAUUUCUUGAGUACCUUAUUUAGAUCUUGAUUUCUUUUGGCUUGUGGUUUCGUUUUGAAAACUAAGCACAUAGUUUGUAAAAUACAAAAAUUUAUCCAUUGCAUUCUUUUUUUCUUUUCCUGUUGUUUUGAAACUUGUCUAUUCUGCAGACAGAUUGGAUAACAAGUAUCGAAGGCCAAAAUGGAGUCAGCUGCAUCACUAUUGAUUGGGAAAAUUGCGGCCAUUCUUGAGAACGAAGCAUCUUCCAUAGCGGCAGUCCGUGAUGAAGUUGAUGAGCUUAAGCUGGAGCUCAUAAGCAUGAAAUCUUUCUUAAUAGAUGCUGAAGGCAAGGAACCACAAACAGAAGGAGAGAAAAACGUGGGUUACAAGCGUCAGAGAUUUGACCUGCGAUGCUGAAAAUGUCAUUGAUGAGUUCCUGUAUCACAUAUAUGACAAGCAAAGUGCGACUCCAUUUGCAAAAUUGCUCCACAGAACCAUUUACUUUCCAAAGAAUCUUUGGCAUCGGCAUCGAAUAGCCAAAAAAUUACAGAAAAUCACAAAAAAGAUCAAAGCCAUUCCAGAGAGGAAUGAGAGAUAUGUGUGUCUCUACAAUAGAAGGAACAAGUUCGGAUAGUGUUCCCAGAUGGGUGAAGAACAAAGCCAAGUCUUCUCUUUAUAUUAUGGAAGACGAACUAAUCGGGAUUGAAGACAAGAAGCAAACGUUAAUGGGGUUAUUGAUGAAUGGAGAGGAAAAUGAAAUGGUUGUGUCUGUGGUCGGGAUGGGAGGAUCAGGCAAGACAACUCUUGUUGCCAAUACCUUCAACAACGAAAAUGUAAAGUGGCAUUUUGACUGUGUUGUGCUAGGAUAGCACAAAACCUUAUGGAACAAACUCUUGAUAACCCACAGGAAAUAUAUCAAAUGAAAUGCAAGAACAAAAUAUUAAAGACACCAAGAUUUUAACGAGGUUCCUCAACAGUCAGUAUAACUGGAGUACGUCCUCGGAGCAGUAGGAGCUCACCCAAUAAUCCACUAUCAACCAAAUGGGAGUUUACAAAGUGUUGGCAAUCUCACAACCCAAAUAACCCAAUACACCCAAUAGCUCUCACACACCACAGAAACAAAUAGAGAAAGCAAUAUAAUGAAUAAUUUCUUCUCUAUACAUGUAGCUCAAAGCUAUUACAACAAUAACUAUGAUGGAUGAUUGCUAACCAAAAAGAAGAGCACCUUCUUCUUCUUUUCUGCUCUUAGUUUUCUGCUCUCUGCAGCUCUCUUUGCUCUCUCAAAGAUGGGCUACUAAAACAGAAAAAUGGUGCACACUUCCUCUAUCAUUCUCACUUCCGUAUCCUCACUUCAUCAAUACAAAAGCACCCAAUAAAAAAUUCAAAAACAUCAUCAUGACCAUCAAUUUUUCAUUUCAACAAACAUAAUCAUGAUGCCUCCUCAUCAUGAUGUCUUUCACCUUUUUUUAUUUUGAUUUGUUUAUUAGCUGAAAGUUGUUUUGUUUUGUUGUCCACUUGGCCACUUGGCCACAAUUCAACAGACUGUUAUGCAUGGAUCACUGUUUCUCAAACUUUUGUGAUCGAGGACUUAUUCAAAAAUCUGAUCAAGCAAUUCCACCAAGGAAGAAAGGAAGAGGUGACUGCACAAUUGGAUUCCAUGAGUUACAAAGAAUUGUUAGAGAUGUUGUCGACAUACUUGAAGUCUAAAAGGUACCUAGUUGUAUUGGAUGAUGUGUGGGACAUUAAACUUUGGCAAGAAAUAAGGAUACCACUUCUUAAUAGACAUCAUGGAAGUCGAAUCAUGCUUACAACUCGAAAGAAAGACAUAGCAUUCUAUUCUUUUGAAGUUGAAAGUUGUCCUAUUGAAAUUGAACCUUGGGAAAACAAUGAAGCUUGGGAGCUCUUUAGCAAGAAAGCAUUCUCAACUUACGAUAAUAAAUCUUGUCCACCAGAGCUUGAAUCCUUAGCAUGGAAACUUGUGGAUAAGUGUGAAGGCCUACCUCUGGCAGUGGUAACUUUAGGUGGUCUAAUGUCUUCCAAGAGGUCAUCAUCGGAAUGGAAAAGCGUAUAUAACAGCUUAAAUUGGCACUUGACUAACCAUCCUAUGUUGGAACCAAUGAGCAACAUCUUGUUGCUUAGUUUCAACAAUUUGCCCAACCGGUUGAAGCCAUGUUUCCUAUAUUGUGCCCUUUUCCCAGAAGAUUAUCUCAUCAAAAGACAAAGGUUGAUCAGGUUGUGGAUAGCUGAAGGGUUUGUUGAACCAAUUGAUGGGGUCACACCAGAAGAAGUUGCAGAGGGCUAUCUUGUGGAACUUAUUGUUCGUAGCAUGCUACAGGUUGAAAAGAAUGAAGCUGGAGGACUAAAAGCAUGUAAGAUGCAUGAUCUAUUGCAUGAGCUUGCUUUGUCGACAUCAAAAAAGGAAAAGUUUGGUGCUACGUAUGUUGGCAGAGAAAUAGUAGAUAACGGUGAAAUCCGCCGACUGUCAAUUCAAACAGCUGAAAGAGAAAUUAAUUCUUGCCCAGGUAUGUCAAAGCUUCGCUGCUUUUUUGUCUUUGGCGCUGGCAUAUUUAUGUUCAAGAAAUUGCCUUCUGGAUUCAAGUUGUUGAGAGUUCUAUAUUUGGAGAAUGCUCCAAUUGAAAGAUUUCCAGAUGAACUAGUGUACUUGUUCAACUUAAGAUAUUUAAAUUUGAAGGGAACUUUAAUUGAGGAGCUUCCAGAAUCCAUGGGACGGCUGCGCAACCUUCAAACCUUGAACAUCCGUGACAGUAAGAUAAAGGCACUUCCAAAAGCAAUCUCCAAGUUAGUAAACCUACGCCAUCUAAUCAUGUAUUGUUACGCUGUUGAUUUGAUGGCCUUUAGAUUUCUCAAUGGGACAAAAGCAGCAUCCGAUCUAAGUACAUUACAGAAACUGCAAGUUUUGCAAUCUGUUGAAUCAGAAGCAAAGAUUAUUAAGGGAUCAGGAAAUGACCCAACUUACAAGCCUUGGUAUUACAAAUGUGAAAGCAUGUGACGAGAUGGACCUCUGUGACUCCCUUCAAAAGUUAGAGCUUCACUCUUUGUUUUUAAUGGCUAGUGAUGAAGAGGGGUUUCUUCAAGUUAAUGCACUACAUAACCUGACACGUAUGUGUCUACAUUGGUCUAGACUUGAAGAAGAUCUGCUGCCUCACAUUCAAGCAUUGCCGAAUCUUGAAAGGCUUACCCUAUUAAUGCAUAUGUUGGCGAAAAUCUGUGUUUCUCCAGAGGCUUCAUAAAGCUUAAGCAUUUGCUGUUGGGCAGCUUCUCGGUAUUGAAUAGUAUAACUAUAGAGAAAGGGGCGAUGCCAAAUCUCCAGGUCUUAGACAUUGGGAACUGCAUGGGGUUAAAGGCAUUGCCGCAGGGCAUGGAGUUCCUUGCUAACGUAGAACGCCUGGAUCUGUAUUCUGUUUCCAAUGCAACUUAUAGAGUCCGUAAGAGGAGGCAUGGAUCAUCCAAAGGUACAACAUAUUCCUGAAAUCCACCUGUAUUAUGAGAGAGAAAAAUAUGUGGUGUCAUGAAAGCUUUUCUGGUAUUCACUCAAGGUACACACUUUUGUUCUUGCAUAAACAUUUGAUUAAUUCUAGACUUAUCAUAUUUUUUGUAUCAUAUUUGUACCAUCUUUUUUAUAGAGGUAGGGCCCAUCAUCAUAUGUGGGUCUUAUUUCUAUUAGAGAGGUGGUAUGAAAAAUGUGGUAAAAGUAGCAUUUUUUUGUAAAAAAAAUUCCACAACAUAAUCAUUUGAACUAUUACGUUAGAAAGUUAAAAGGUUGAUGAUUUUCAUGCUCCUAUUUUUUUUUUCUUAUGCACUCCUUAUGUUUUUGUUCGUUAGUGUUUUGAUUUAUUCAAUUGUUAGGCUACGAAAAAGAGGAAGUAGUGUAUCGGAGUGUAGAAAUCAUUUUCCCUUACAAUUUGCAUGACCAAUCUUAUACAAAAGUCUGGCAAAGACAUAAUAUGUAUGCAUUGAGAAUAUGUAUCCAUUGAGAUUUUAUUUGGUAACUGUGUUUCUUUUGUAUUGUAAUAUCCUUUUUGUAGAAUCAAGCCUCAGAAGCACUUGUGAGACUGCAGUGAGUUCUCCUUUGUGCUAGUUGAUUUUGCGGUGAAUCUCGACUUUCGUUAUAGUAACAGAGCUGACUAUAUACGUGUCGAGUCAUUCGUCCUGCAAGGAAGAAUCCGUUCGUUGUUUGUGUGUUGUGUGAAGUUGCAAACAUUGAUCGAUCUUGGUUUCUUAUUUGCCCUUUGUGAAAUUGAAUAAUGCCCAAUAUUCUAUUUGUGUAACUGAAACUUAUAUUAUUGAUUGUUUGCAUGUGUUUUGAUGUAAUAAUAUUGGUUUGGAAUUGAAUCUGUCACUUAUGAGAAUAAUUCCAAAGAUUCUGUUUGUGUAACAGAAACUUAUAUUAUUGUUUGUUUGCGUGUAUUUUUUGAUGUAAUAAUAUUGGUUUGGAACUGAAUCUGUUAUUGAUGAGACCAAUUCUAACUAAAUCAAUAAUUAUGACCAUUUUUCAUUUUCAAUAUUUAUUGUUUUUUUUAUCAAGUUUUCAAAUAUAUUGUUUUUGAGAGGCAAAUUUUGUGGCGGAUACUUUAGCUCACUAUGAUUUUACUUGAGAAAUUAUUAGAUGGUACGGUAUUACCACGUCAGCCAGUCAUACUUCUAUUCAAAUUUUUAACAUGUCUGCAGUUUCUUACAGCUGAAUUAAAAAGCUUUUUCAAUUCAAAAUUAAUUAAUUUUUUUCAGUUUAAACAAAAUUAAAAGAAUUAAAAAUAAGAGGCGUUUUGACACAGAUGCAUAGCUUUUAAAAUUUUGAGUUAACCUCUUUUCCUCCCCUCCCUCCUCUCUCAUGGCGACUAGUGCUGCCAGUAUCCGAGCCCGCCAGAAAGCAAUCCCGACCGGGUCGGGGCGAAUUCGAGGCCCAAUGAGCAGCAUCUUGUUGCUUAGUUUCAACAAUUUGCCCAACCGGUUGAAGCCAUGUUUCCUAUAUACUGUGCCCUUUUCCCAGAAGAUUAUCUCAUCAAAAGAAAAAGGUUGAUCAGGUUGUGGAUAGCUGAAGGGUUUGUUGAACCAAUUGAUGGGAUCACACCAAAAGAAGUUGCAGAGGGUUAUCUUGUGGAACUUAUGUUCGUAGCAUGCUACAAGUUGAAAAGCAUGGAGCUGGAGGACUAAGAGCAUGUAAGAUGCAUGAUCUUGUGCGUGAGCUUGCUUUGUCGAUAUCAAAAAAGGAAAAGUUCGGUGCUACGUGUGUUUCCAGAGAAAUAGUAGAUAAAGCUGAAAUCCGCCGAUUGUCAAUUCAAACAACUGAAAGAGAAAUUAAUUCUUGCACGGGUAUGUCAGAGCUUCGCUCCUUUCUUGUCUUUGGCGCGUUAGAGAAAUUGCCUUCUGGAUUCGAGUUGUUGAGAGUUCUAGAUGUGCAGGAUGCUCCAAUUGAUAGAUUUCCAGAUGAACUAGUGUACUUGUUCAAACUUAAGAUAUUUAAAUUUGAAGAGAACUUUGAUUGACGAGCUUCCAGAAUCCAUCGGACGACUUCGCAACCUUCAAACCUUGAUCAUCAGUAACAGUAAGAUAAAGGCACUUCCAAAAGCAAUCUCCAAGUUAGUAAACCUACGCCAUCUAAUCAUGUUUCGUUACACUGGUGACCAUUAUGGCUUUAUAUAUCUCAAUGGGACAAAAAGCAGCAUCCGAUCUAAGUAAAUUACAGAAACCGCAAGUUUUGCAUUCCGUUGAAUCAGAAGGAAAGAUAAUUAAAGGCAUCAGGAAUAUGACCCAACUUACAAGCCUCGGUAUUACAAAUGUGAAAGCAAGUGACGAGAUGGACCUCUGUGACUCCCUUCAAAAGUUAGAGCUCCUUCACAAUUUGUUUUUUAAUGGCUGGUGAUGAGAGAGAGGAGUUUCUUCAAGUUAAUUUGACUCUCCAGACCUUCAAAUUGACUUAAUUUGACUGGAAAACUAGAAAAGGGUACCUCUUUGGUUAGGUUCACUCCAUAACCUGACACGUAUUUAUCUACGUUGGUCUAGACUUGAAGAAGACGUGCUACCUCACAUUCAAGCAUUGCCGAAUCUUGAAAGGCUUUCGCUAAUUAAUGCAUAUGUUGGCGAAAAAUUGUGUUUCUCCAGAGGCUUCAUAAAGCUUAAGCAUUUGAGGUUGUUCAAGUUCCCCUUAUUGGAUAGUAUAGCUAUAGAGAAAGGGGCGAUGCCAAAUCUCUAGGUCUUAUGCACUGCGUACUGCCUGGAGUUAAAGGCAUUGCCGCAGGGCAUUGAGUUCCUUGCUAACGUAGAACGCUUGAAUCUGUAUUCUGUUCCAAUGCAACUUAUACAGUCCAUAAGAGGAGGCAUGGAUCAUCCAAAGGUACAACAUAUUCCUGAAAUCCACCUGUAUUAUAUGAGAGAAAAUAUGGAGUGUCAUGAAAGUUUUUCCGGUAUUCACUCUAGGAGAAGGUACGCACACUUUUAUCCUUGCAUAAAAAUUUAAUUAAUGUUAGACUUACUACAUUUUUUGUGUCACAUUUGUACCACCUUUUUUUUAUAGAGGUAGGGCCGAUUGACAUAUAUGGGUCUUAUUUUUAUUAGAGAUGUGGUAUAAAUGUGGUAUGAAAAAUGUGGUAAAAGUAGCAUUUUUGUAAAAAAAAAAUUCCACAACGUAAUCAUUUGAACUAUUACGUUAGAAAGUUAAAAGGUUGGUGAUUUUCACACUCCUAUUUUUUUUUCCUUAUACGCUCCUCUUGGUUUUGUUCGUUAGUGUUUUGAUUUAUUCAAUUGUUAGGCUACGAAAAAGAGGAAGUAGUGCAUCAGAGUGUAAAAAUCAUUUUCCCUUACAAUUUGCAUGUCCAAUCUUAUAUAGAAGUCUGGCAAAGACAUAAAAUAUGCAUGCAUUGAGAUUUUAUUCGGUAAUUGUGUUUCUUUUGUUUUGUAAUAUCCUUUUUGCAGAAUCAAGCCUCAUAAGCACUUGUGAGACUGCAUUGAAUUCUCCUUUGUCCCAGUUGAUUUUACGGUGAAUCUCGACUUUCGUUAUAGUAACAGAGCUGACUAUAUACGUGUUGUGUCAUUUACCCUGCAAGGAAGAAUCCGUCCAUUGUUUGUUGUGUGAAGUUGCAAACAUUGAUCGAUCUUGGUUUCUUAUUUGCCCUUUGUGAAAUGGAAUAAUGCCCAAGAUUCUAUUUGUGUAACUGAAACUUAUAUUAUUGAUUGCUUGUGUGUGUUUUGAUGUAAUAAUAUUGGUUUGGAACUGAAUUUGUCACUGAUGAGAAUAAUGCUUAAGAUUCUGUUUGUGUAACAGGAACUUAUAUUAUUGUUUGAUUGCGUGUAUUUUGAUGUAAUAACAUUGAUUUGGAACUGAAUCUAUCACUGAUGAGACCAAUUCUAACUAAACCAAUGAUUAUGACCCAUUUUUCAUUUUCAAUAUUUAUUGCUUUUUAUCAAGUUUUCAAAUAUAUAUUGUUUUAGGUAGGCAAAUUUUGUGGCGGAUGUUUUAGCUUACUAUGAUUUUACCUGAGAAAUUAUUAAAUGGUACGAUAUUACCACGUCGCCCAGUAAUACUUUUAUUCAAAUUUCCAGUAAUACUUUUAUUCAAAUUUUAACAUGUGUGCAGUUUCUUUCAUGCUUACAGCUAGAUUAAAAAGCUUUUUUAAUUUAAAAUUAAUUUUUUUUUCAGUUUAAACAAAAUUAAAAGAACUAAAAAUAAGAGGCGUUUUGACACAGAUGCCUAGGGUUUAGCUUUUAAAAUUUUGAGAUAAGGCCAUCUCCAAUCAAAAAGUCCAGAGGGCUGAAAAUGGCCCAAAAACCGUCUCCAACCGAGGACUAGGCCAAAAGGCUCGUGGGCCCCACUGAACAAAAAAGGGCCAAAAGGCCAAUCGAUUGGCCCAACCCAACCAGCCAACCUCGGGCAGAGCCAGAAAUUUGAAUGCAACGGCUAGCUGAUGUAAGCGUGACGCUAACUAGCCAUUAUAUUUGAAUUUUUUUUUGGGCCAAAAUUUAAAAAAAUAUAUAUUUAAUUAUAGGCCUAGAAAGGUGAUUAGUUCAAUGUUGGGCGUUGAGAUGUUCCUUUUAUAAGCAUGUUUGGUUACUCAAAUCUCUCCCACGAACAAUGUGGGACAAAUAUAAUGGUUGCCACACAUGCAAGCUUUUGCUUGCUCAAAUCUCUCCCACGGACGAUGUGGGACAAAUAUAGUGGGUAGUUUUUAAAUUUAAGUUGUUGUAGUUUUUAAAUUUAAAUAACAAAUUAUGUUUGGUCCUAUGACCCUCAAUUGGAGAUGAUUUUUUGUCACAUGGCUAUUUUUGAUAAAAAAUUAUAGCUAUGCACUGUUCAUUAAAGUAUUAAUUUCUUGGACGGCCACACCUUCGGUUGGAGAUGGCAUAACCUCUUUUCCUCCCCUCCUUAUUCUCUCCCAUGGCGAUUGCAGUGCUGUCAGUAUCCAAGCCCGCCAGACAGCAACCCCGACCGGGUCGGGGUGGAUUCGAGGCCCAUGGACUAUCAGAAGAAGAGGCCUAAAACCUUAUUUUAUCUUAAUAUUACAUAAUUACUGUUUUGUCCUCCUUAUGUAAAUAUUGUGAAUCAAAAGUGAGGGUAAAAUAGGAAAAAUAGGGAUAUGAUUGUCAUUUUAUCAAAAGAUAUAAAAUUACUAUUUUGCCCUCCUUAUGUAAGUAUUGUGUAUCAAAAGUGAGGGCAAAAUAGAAAAAAGGGGGCAAAAGAUACAAAAUUACUAUUUUGCCUUCCUUAUGUAAGUAUUGUGUAUAAAAAAUGAGGGUAAAAUAAGAAGAAAAAAAAGGCAAAAAGUUGACAAGAAUGAUUCUCUUAAUAAUAGUAUAGAUUAUAAAUAAUAAAUAAAUAAAUAAUAAUAAAAACUGAUAAGAACAAAAAAAAAAAAAAAAAAACCCUAUUGUUCAAGCUUCAAAGUUAGGGGGAGGGUAAUGGACAAGGAUUGUCUGCCCUCCCACUUUCCAUGCCCUCCCAUGCCCUCAUGUUUGUGUGUGCUCAGGGUUAAGCCACGUCAACAUUUUAUAUUACUAUUCAUUUUUGUCUUAUUAUCUCUAUAAAAGAAACAAUAUAAAAUGUUGACGUGGCUUAACCGUGACCACACAAAACAGAAGAACACGGGAGGACAUGGAAAAUGGGAGGGCAGACAAUCCUUGUCCGAGGGUAAUAGACCUCUCUUUCUCUGCCGCAUAUCUCCUGGUUUUAUUUUUAUUUAUUUUUGGUAAAAAAAAACCUUCCUGAUCUCUUUAUUCUCUAGAAACUCAUGUGUUAUUACCAUUUAUCAGACGAUAUGUUUUCCCGCUUGUUCAUAUUGUUCUCACGCUUGGCCAAUGGGGGAAAAAUUGUUUUCCACAAUCUAAUUUAUCACUCAAAAUACUAGGAAUGAAGAAUUAGGAUUUUGGGUUUAGUUUUGUUUACCGAACAAAAUAAUUCAAGAGAUCGAGCGAUUGCUUGAUACGCUUUGUGUGCUUCUUAAUUUUGUAUCAAUCGAAUCAAAUCGACAUGUAGUAAAGACGGAUUUUCUCUCCUCCUCCUCCUUACGUUCAUGACCAGUUGAUUUUUUUUCCUAUUGAGUUUUAUUGGAUUAAUUGAUUCUUAUUCAUUUAAUAUAAUUGUUUAUUUAUUACUUAUAAUUCACAUCAUCGUCCAUGUCACUUAAGGUUUAAAAUUUUCAACAUUAGUCUUAAUCAAGAUCAUUGAAUGUUAUAAAAUCUAAUGACUAAAAAAGAGUGUAAAAAUACUUGUCUCCUGAUCCUAUUUUAUAUGUAUUUUUUAUAUAUGAAUAUAAAUUAUUAUCUAUUAGUUUUUCAAUACAGUAUGAUAAUAUUGUUGGUAAUAUUAUGGAAUACUAAUCACAUACCAAAAAUUUCAGUUUGCUACAAUAUCGUGUCAUUAUUGAUUAGCACAAAAUCGAUAUGGUACGAUUAUCAAUCGGUGGCACGAUAUUGACAAAAAAAAAAAUCACCCUAGAGUUAGUAAACUCACCCGUGACAAGUGUUGAAUCAGAGACUAAAAAAGAAUUGAAUUCUACUGGAAGUGUAUAUAAACUUUUGUAAUGUGAAUUAAAAUUACAGUGUGCUUGAGUGAUUUUUCAAAACCUUGUUCGUUAUUUGAUUUGAAAUAAGAAUUUUCUGUUAUAUUUUUAAUUUAUUCGUGCACCAAUUAUUUUUCUGCCGACACCAAAUUCGAAGCGCAACUUUAAUAUGACCCCACCUGGCAAGUACUGCGAGCAAAAUACAUCCUACGCGGUUUCAGUUCCACGAUUUACAAAUUGCCACACACAUCACAUUAUUAUCUUUGUCCAAAGGUUUUUGUCUUCGUCUGAAAUUAUUGGUCUGUCAGAAAGUAUUCGUAAGAGCCAUAAAGUAUUGGUCUUUGUUUCAUGAAACAUGACUUCCAUCCUAACGUGCAAUUGUUUCUAAUUCUAAAGUGAUUUUCUCUGAUUUUUACUUGUUUCUCUGUCGGAUCGAAUGAGAAAAGAUAAAAGGCUCAUGAAAUUGACGUGUGGGGUUAGGAAUGGUUAUAUUCUAUGAGUGAGCUCCAGUCCCUUCGUCUCAUAUUUGAUAUUUUUAUUUUCGUCGACAAGGGAGCCCAAAAAAUAACGACGUCGGAGCAACUGAAGCAUAUAAUUGCAACUCUUUUGUGAGCUUCCAUAUGUCCCAGGGUAUGUUAUUCUGCAAUCUUACUACCAUAUCAAAUAUCCUUCUAGUAAUUUUCUGGAAGAAAGUAUAGGGGCUUAUGAGCUACAUCUGACUUUUGUUUCACUUUUUUUUCUUAUUAUAUAUGUAAUUCUGUUGGAAUGCAUGCAAGUCAUAUGUUUUGUUAAAAUGCAUGCAUGAAAUAAACAUGUUGGAUGACUAGUGAAGUUAGGCUAGUCAACAUUCUUUGUGUAAAUUAGGCAAGUUAGGCAAGUUAGGAAAUUAGGCAAGUUAGGCUUAUGUUCUCUUUCUUUUCCUAUAUAAUGUUUCAUCUUGUAAUUGUUUUGAUAUGAAAUACACAUCCAAAAUUCUACAUGGUAUCAGAGCAGGAACUCGAAAUUCCUGGCUCUGUUGAUCGUUUCCGCUAAGUUUCUUUUACUCUAAGCCAAGAUGGCUGGAGAACAUUUACUCUAAGCCAAAAUGGCUGGAGAACUUUUACUCUAAGCCAAGAUGGCUGGAGAACAUUUACUCUAAGCCAAGAUGGCUGAAGAACAUUUACUCUAAGCCAAGAUUGGCUGGAGAACAUUUAUUCUAAGAAGAUGCUGGAGACAUUAUGCUGAGAGCUCGAUGGAUGCUUUAGCUCUACCUAACGUUGUUCAAGUUUUGCGGCACGAAGCCAUUUCAAGUUUGUUUGUUUGCGGCACGAACGAAGUCAUUACUGUUUUGUUUGCGGCACGAAGCCAUUUCAUUUCAGUGGGAAUUUGGUAACAUGGCGCAGCAAGAAGCAAAGCGUUAUUUUUACUAAACCUCUUCCUACGGUUCAGUUCAUGCGCAUUCUGUCCAAGCUUGGCUCAAGGAAUCCCCUCGAUCCAGCUUGAGGGGGAGUGUUGGAAUGCAUGCAAGUCAUAUGUUUUUUGUUAAAAUGCAUGCAUGAAAUAAAUAUGUUGGAUGACUAGUGAAGUUAGGCUAGUCAUUAACAUUCUUGUUAGUAAAUAGGCAAGUUAGGCAAGUUAGGCAACAAGUUAGGCAAGUUAGGCUUAUGUCUACUUUCUUUUCCUAUAUAUAUGUUUCAUUUGUAAUUGUUUCUUCAUGAAAUACACAUAAAAAAUUCAACAAAUUCAGAUUCUGAGCAUUCAUCAUCAAACACAAGACUUCAAAUUCGAUUUCUUCUUCAACAACAUUGCCUGUAAAAAAAGGGGUGAGUUAUUGAUUUAAACGCCAUUAAGUUGAAUUUGGUUGGAAGUCUAGUCAAUAUUAUUUGGUGUUUUAUUUUAAUAAUUUAAGCAAGCAAACGAGUUAUAUUUAUCGUGUUUUCGUUGUUUUGUCAUAUUCGUCAUUUUAACAGAUAAUAUUGUGUCAAAUAUGUUAUCCUAAUAAAUUCUUCACAAAUGACCCCAAUAACGACUUAAUUCGUUAACGAAUUGUGUCGCCUCACGCAAUGAUGAAGCCAAAAAUUAUCAAGAGGAGGGGCAAAAGUUAAACGGUUUAAGGUCCCCAAAAAAUGUGGACAUCCAUUCGAGGCCGAAGUCUAGUGUUUACAUGAAGAAUAUGUGAACUACCUCGAAUAUUUGUAGGAUAAUUUGCACUAACUGAAUAUUCAAAGUAGGAAUUGGACAUGACCUGACCUAGGCGGAUUAGGCGAAUUUGAAUUUUUUUAAUUAUAUAUUGUAUAAAUAAGUGUUUAUUUAUUAUAUACAUAUAAUAUCUAAGAACAUUGACUAUAAAACAUACAAUAUAUAAAAAUAUAAAAAAAAAAAUUUUACUUUGUUGUAUUUAACAGUAGGAGAUAAAAAUUCAAAUGAUUACAAGUUUUUAAUACUUUACAAAAUAUUUUUUAAAGUUCGUAUGAAUUUAUAGUAAAUUUGAAGAUAAAUAAUAAUGUAAAAAAAGUUAAAAAAAUAUUGAAAAAGUGGGCAAAUUAUUCAAACAAUAAUUAAAAAACAAAACAAAUCUCAAUAUAAUCAGCACAUUAAAUAGCUAGCUAUGUGGCCCAAACUUAUUGGGUACAAUAAUUGAAAAACCAAAUUAAAGUGGGUAACUUUGAAACGGCAUGUGGGGUGGGGUGGGUAAGAGAGAAAGUUACUUUUUAGUAGCUGCAAAAUUGGGUAUUUUGAAAAGAAAAAAAAAAGGAGAGCCUGGGCGUAGGAAACCCAGAACACCAAAAAAUCAGAUGGGACCAAAGGGACGGAACCACUGAUCCUAGACUUGAUUUUCGGCUUGGGGAGGGGCGACCCUUAUGUAGCUUUGCCCAUGAUCUCAUGCCUAUUUAAUAGGUCAUGCAAGAAAUUAAUAUACCUAAUACUAAUUUAAUAGUUGGGAACUCCCCCGUGAUAAGUGUUGAAUUGGAUCAGAGAUGGAAGUGUAUAUAAACUUUUGUAAUGUGAAUUAAAAUUACAGUGCGCUUGAGUGAUUUUUCAAAACCUUGUGUUUGUUAUUUGAAAUAAGAGUUUUCUAUUAUAUUUUUAAUUUUAUUCGUGCACCAAUUAUUUUUCUACCGAUCCCAAAUUCGAAGCGCAACUUUAAUAUAUGACCCCACCUCGCAAUUAUUGUCGGCGAGCAAAAUACAUCCUACGCGGUUUCAGUUCCACGGUUUACAAAUUGCCACGUACAUCACGUUAUCAUCUUUGUCCAAAGGUUUUUGUCUUGGGCUGAAAUUAUUGGUCUUUGUCAGAAAGUAUUCGUAAGGACCAACAAGUCCUGGUCUUUGAUUCAUGACUUCCAUCAUAACUUGCAAUUGUUUCUAAUUCUAAAGUGAAUUUCUCUAAUUUUACUUGUUUCUCCGUCAGAUCGAAUGAGAAUUGAUAAGAGGAUCGUGGAAUUGACGGAAGGGGUUAGGAAUGGCUAUAUUCUCCCUUCGUCUCAUAUUUGAUAUUUUUAUUUUCAUUGACAAAGGAGCCCAACAAUAACGACGUCAAAGCAACUGAAGCAUAUCAUUGCAACUCUUUUGUGAGCUUCCAUAUGCCCCAGGGUAUGUUAUUCUGCACUCUUACUACCAUAUCUAAUAUCCUUCUAGAAAUUUUUUGGAAGAAAGUAUAAGGGCUUAUGAGCUACAUCAGACUUUUGUUUCACUUUUUUUUUUGUAUGUAAUUCAUAUUCUGAGCAUUCAUCAUUAAACACAAGACUUCAAAUUCGAUUUCUUCCUCAACAAUUACGUAUAUUGAAAAAAUAAAAUGCAAAAUGAAAAUUUUUUAUUUUCUGUAAAGCUUAUAACAAUUUAUUGAAAAAAAAAUAAAAGUAUUCAACAAGUCUAUUACAAUAUCUUGAAAAAAUAAAAUGCAAAGUGAAAGUUAUCUAUUUUCUGCCUAGACAGGUCUAGGCGGUGCCUAACUAGGUUUAGGCGUCCUUGCUUAAUUUUCAAAUUCCUAAGCAUUAAUUGGAUCGAUGGCCAACCGCCUAGUGCCGCUGGAAUUUUUAGAACAGUGGUUAACGUGUUGACCCCAAGACCUGUUAUUUUCGUGUUUUUCAGCGUCUGAUUAACGGGUCGUGCAAAAAAUUGUGUGGUAUUUGUGUAGAGUCCAAUCUACUAUACCCAAAACAUUCCGUUCUUUUCGACGUGUGUACUUUCAUUUAACAACAAUUUUGUGGUACUUGCCAACUGCCACCUACAAAGAAUUGAAACUUUUGGUUAUCCUUUAACACUGACUAAAAUCCAUGACAUUUGGUGGAAGAAUUAGAUUGAAUGAGUUCGAAAUUUUCAAUCAUAGAUUUUUGUUAUGGAACCAAAUUCUUUAAUUAUGUGUUCUUGCAAAAAAGACUCGAGAAGUAGUUUUCGGACUUUUGAAGUUUGGCCCUUUGUUAAACUGAAUGAAAGUUAAGAACAGAAAAUUAAAUUUCUUGUGUACCUUAUUUAGAUCUUGAUUUCUUUUGGCUUGUGGUUUUGUUUUGAAAACUAAGCACAUAGUUUGUUAAAUACAAAAAUUUAUCCAUUGCGUUCUUUUUUUCUUUUUCUGUUGUUUUGAAACUUGUCUUUUCUGCAGACAGAUUGCAUACCAAGUAUCGAAAGCCAAAAUGGAGUCAGCUGCAUCACUAUUGGUUGGGAAAAUUGCGGCCAUUCUUGAGAACGAAGCAUCUUCCAUAGCGGCAGUCCGUGAUGAAGUUGAUGAGCUUAAGCUGGAGCUCAUAAGCAUGAAAUCUUUCUUAAUAGAUGCUGAAGGCAAGGAACCACAAACAGAAGGAGAGAGAACGUGGGUUACAAGCGUCAGAGAUUUGACCUGCGAUGCUGAAAAUGUCAUUGAUGAGUUCCUGUAUCACAUAUAUGACAAGCAAAGUGCGACUCCAUUUGCAAAAUUGCUCCACAGAACCAUUUACUUUCCAAAGAAUCUUUGGUAUAGGCAUCGAAUAGCCAAAAAAUUACAGAAAAUCACGAAAAAGAUCAAAGCCAUUCCAGAGAGGAAUGAGAGAUAUGGUGUCUCUACAAUAGAAGGAACAAGUUCGGGUAGUGUUCCCAGAUGGGUGAAGAACAAAGCCGAGUCUUCUCUUUAUAUUAUGGAAGAUGAAUUAAUCGGCAUUGAAGACAAGAAGCAAACGUUAAUGGGAUUGUUGAUGAAUGGCGAGGAAAAUGAAAUGGUUGUGUCUGUGGUCGGGAUGGGAGGAUCAGGCAAGACAACUCUAGUUGCCAAUAUCUUCAACAACGAAAAUGUAAAGCGGCAUUUUGACUGUUAUGCAUGGAUCACUGUUUCUCAAACUUUUGUGAUCGAAGACUUAUUCAAAAAUCUGAUCAAGCAAUUCCACCAAGGAAGAAAGGAAGAGGUGACAGCACAAUUGGAUUCCAUGAGUUACAAAGAAUUGUUAGAGAUGUUGUCGGCAUACUUGAAGUCUAAAGGUACCUCGUUGUAUUGGAUGAUGUGUGGGAUAUUAAACUUUGGCAAGAAAUAAAGAUACCACUUCUUAAUAGGCAUCAUGGAAGUCGAAUCAUGCUUACAACUCGAAAGAAAGACAUAGCAUCCUAUUCUUUUGAAGUUGAAAGUCGUCCUAUUGAAAUUGAACCCUUGGGAAACAAUGAAGUUUGGGAGCUCUUUAGCAAGAAAGCAUUCUCAACUUACGAUAAUAAAUCUUGUCCACCAGAGCUUGAAUCCUUAGCAUGGAAACUUGUGGAUAAGUGUGAAGGCCUACCUCUGGCAGUGGUAACUUUAGGUGGUCUAAUGUCUUCCAAGAGGUCAUCAUCGGAAUGGAGAAGUGUAUAUAACAGCUUAAAUUGGCACUUGACUAACAAUCCUAUGCUAGAACCAAUGAGCAGCAUCUUGUUGCUUAGUUUCAACAAUUUGCCCAACCGGUUGAAGCCCUGUUUCCUAUAUUGUGGCCUUUUCCCAGAAGAUUAUCUCAUCAAAAGAAACAGGUUGAUCAGGUUGUGGAUAGCUGAAGGGUUUGUUGAACCAAUUGAUGGGGUCACACUAGAAGAAGUUGCAGAGGGCUAUCUUGUGGAACUUAUUGUUCGUAGCAUGCUACAAGUUGAAAAGAAUGAAGCUAGAGGACUAGGAGCAUGUAAAAUGCAUGAUCUUGUGCGUGAGCUUGCUUUGUCGACAUCAAAAAAGGAAAAGUUUGGUGCUACGUAUGUUGGCAGAGAAAUAGUUGAUAAAGCUGAAAUCCGGCGAUUGUCAAUUCAAACAACUGAAAGAGAAAUUAAUUCUUGCACAGGUAUGUCAGAGCUUCGCUCCUUUAUUGUCUUUGGCGCGUUAAAGAAAUUGCCUUCUGGAUUCAAGUUGUUGAGAGUUCUAGAUCUGGAGGGUGCCCCAAUUGAUAGAUUUCCAGAUGAACUAGUGUACUUGUUCAACUUAAGAUAUUUAAAUUUGAAGGGAACUUUAAUUGAGGAGCUUCCAGAAUCCAUCGGACGGCUUCGCAACCUUCAAACCUUGAACAUCGUGACAGUAAGAUAAAGGCACUUCCGAAAGCAAUCUGCAAGUUAGUAAACCUACGCCAUCUAAUCAUGCAUCGUUACACUGGUGAUCAUUAUAGCUUUAUAUAUGUCAAUGGGACAAAACCAGCAUCCGAUCUAAGUAAAUUACAGAAACUGCAAUUUUUGCGAUGUGUUGAAUCAGAAGGAAAGAUUAUUAAAGGCAUC